This 58255-nucleotide long non-coding RNA is filed under the name Citrus sinensis (sweet orange). Its description in RNAcentral is "long non-coding RNA (CSIN_LNC002743)". The record is from RNAcentral. Lineage: Eukaryota; Viridiplantae; Streptophyta; Magnoliopsida; Sapindales; Rutaceae.
AUGAGGAUGCUAGUACAGAUACAGAUAUUAGCUCACUCAGGUUAUCCAUUCCAAGAGAACUUCAAGAUGGGAUUGCAAAAUUGCUGGAAGAACUUGAUCUUGAGGGGCAGGUGCUUAAACUUUGUAGUUCAUUGUUGCCUUCUAUAACUAUCAGAAGAGAAGCUAAUGUUUCAAAGGAUAGGCAAAUUAUUCUGGGCAAUGACAAGGUGCUUUCGUAUGGAGUUGAUCUCUUGCAAUUGAAGAAGGCAUAUAAAAGUGGUUCACUGGACCUGAAGAUAAAGGCUGAUUAUUCGAAUGCCAGAGAACUUAAAUCACAUUUAGCCAGUGGCUCUCUUGUCAAAUCCCUGCUUAGUGUCAGUAGUCGAGGCCGGCUUGCUGUUGGAGAAGGUGACAAAGUUGCUAUAUUUGAUGUUGGGCAGUUAAUAGGACAAGCCACAAUUCAACCUGUGACAGCUGACAAGACCAAUGUUAAACCUCUCUCAAGGAACAUUGUUCGCUUUGAAAUUGUUCAUCUUGCAUUCAAUUCAAUUGUAGAGAACUACCUCACUGUAGCAGGCUAUGAAGAUUGCCAGGUUCUCACUUUGAACCCUCGUGGUGAGGUGACUGAUCGUCUUGCCAUCGAACUUGCUCUGCAAGGUGCAUACAUUCGGCGGGUAGAUUGGGUUCCAGGAUCUCCAGUUCAGUUAAUGGUGGUUACUAACAAGUUCGUCAAGAUAUAUGAUCUCUCUCAGGACAAUAUCAGUCCCCUGCACUACUUCACACUGCCAGAUGACAUGAUUGUGGAUGCAACUCUUGUUAUAGCUUCUCGAGGAAAGAUGUUCCUUAUUGUUCUUUCCGAAUGUGGAAGCUUAUACAGAUUAGAAUUGUCUGUAGAAGGUAAUGUGGGGGCCACUCCAUUGAAGGAAAUCAUUCAGUUUAAUGACAGAGAAAUCCAUGCAAAGGGAUUGUCCUUGUACUUCUCGUCAACUUAUAAAUUGCUAUUCCUUUCCUUCCAAGAUGGUACCACUUUGGUUGGUCGGUUAAGUCCUAAUGCAGCAUCUCUAUCUGAAGUAUCUUAUGUAUUUGAGGAACAAGAUGGCAAGCUACGUUCAGGUGGACUGCAUCGGUGGAAAGAGUUGCUGGCUAGUAGCGGGCUAUUUUUUUGCUUCUCUAGUUUGAAAUCAAAUGCUGCAGUUGCUGUGUCCUUGGGAACUAAUGAGUUAAUUGCACAGAACAUGCGUCAUGCAGCGGGCUCAACCUCACCAUUAGUUGGGGUAACUGCAUACAAACCUUUGUCAAAAGACAAGGUCCACUGUCUUGUUUUACAUGAUGAUGGUAGCCUUCAAAUAUACUCUCAUGUUCCUCACGGAGUUGAUGCUGCGACAAGUGUGACUGCAGAGAAAGUUAAAAAAUUGGGUUCUAAUAUCCUUAACAAUAAAGCAUAUGCUGGGACAAAGCCAGAAUUUCCCCUUGAUUUUUUUGAGAAAACAGUUUGCAUCACAGCUGAUGUGAAACUAGGUGGCGAUGCCAUCAGGAAUGGUGAUUCUGAGGGAGCUAAGCAGAGUUUGGCAUCUGAAGAUGGCUAUGUAGAAAGCCCAAGCCCUGCAGGAUUUAAGGUAUUUGUUUUUUAGGUUCCAUUAUCUUAUGUUACAUCCUAUUGUUUAGUUCCAAUUUUCUUUUGUAUUCUGCUGUUCAUGUUCGGUUUGCAUUGUUUUCUUGGCCAUGGAUGUCUGUUAAGAACCUGCUAGCAUGGAUGACACAGCUGCAUUGGCCUUAAUUAUUCAUCUUCUUUUAUGGACUGCAAAUAAAUUAUCUUUUACAAUUUUGUAUUGCACAGUUGAUGUCUUGUAACCAAUUAAAGCUGCUCCAUUUUGUUUUGGGUCGGAAUUUAUACUUGUGGUGGUUCUUUUUGGCUGCUGAUAGUUGUUGCUCUCUGGGUGUUGAUGGCUGGUGGGAUACACAGCUGUAAUUUCAUGAUGAUCUCCUAAUCUCUUAAUUUUUCCUAUGUUGGUGUUUGAUUGCAAGGAAGGUGAUCUGGUGCCAGUUUCUAUGUUUAGGCAUUUUGAUAGUACAUGAUUGUGGGAUGUAGGCUUACCUUAGAAACUUAAUGUUUUAUUUAGGGACAAGAAGCAUUUUGUUCGCAUUCUCCCUUGUCAUUGAUAGGACUUAGGGCUAAUUAGGGCUGACUUUUAUUGAUUAAAUCAAAAGAAAACAAACAAUCAAUCCUGACCUACAAUUCGAGAGGUAGGUCAAUCUCUCCCAAAACUCUUAAUGGUUCCUAAUACCAGACAAAACUCAACAUAAACCCUAAAUGACUCCAUAAUUGCCCCUAAAAUUACUAAUCUUAUUUAUAGCUAAACCCUAAUUAAUAAUAAAGUUACUAAAUUGCCCCUGCCCCUAAAAUUACUAAACAGCCCCUGCCCCUUUAUAUUUGCGCCUAACAUAAGUUUUCAUGGGUCUAACAGUCAUAUAGAGCUUGGGACUGGCAUCUGAUGCUGAAACUUAAUUUUAUUAUGGUAUUCCUAGUGACUGAAAGUUAGAUGUUUAAUACAGCUAUCUUCACAUGAAUGAGAUAAUGAGUGAUAUUUGCAAAAUUGAUCACAAUGACAUUGCAUAAUUGGCAAAAUUCAGAGCUAGAAUUUCUUUUAUGUGGCCAAUAAUCAUCUUAUUGUAUUCUUUGUUCAGAGCUUUUGGAUUAAUAUUUGUGGUGUUUCUGCUUUGUCUCCAUGCUUCUUUCCUGCUGCAUAGCAACUUCAGGAUAAUUAUUGGUUACUGUGCUUUCUAAGAUUUGUACUGAUCUCGUUUCUGUAUUUAACUUUUAAUUGUGUUUCCUUUUUCUUUUUCUCAGAUAUCUGUCUCCAAUUCAAAUCCUGAUAUUGUCAUGGUUGGCUUUCGUGUCCACGUGGGUAAUAAUUCAGCUAAUCAUAUACCCUCAGAAAUUAGUCUUUUCCAGAGGACAAUCAAAUUAGAUGAGGGUAUGCGGUCCUGGUAUGAUAUACCAUUCACGGUAGCUGAAUCACUUCUUGCUGAUGAAGAAUUCACAAUCUCCGUCGGACCGACCGUUAAUGGCUCUGCUUUACCUAGAAUAGACUUGCUUGAAGUAUAUGGUCGUGCUAAAGAUGAAUUUGGCUGGAAGGAAAAAAUGGAUGCAGUGUUGGAUAUGGAAGCUCGUGUCCUUGGUUCUAAUUCCUUGCUUGCAGGUUCUGGGAGAAAGUGUCGGUCAAUGCAGUCCGCACCUAUUCAGGAGCAGGUGGUAGCUGAUGGUCUUAAGCUUCUUUCUAGGUUCUAUCCGCUGUACAGGUCACAAGAAGAGGAAGUGGAAGUUCUGGCCAAGCUAAAGUGCAAGCAGUUUUUGGAAACAAUAUUUGAAAGUGACAGGGAACCCUUGAUGCAGACAGCUGCUUGCCGCGUUUUGCAGGCUGUGUUUCCCAAAAAAGAGACAUAUUACCAAGUACGUACUGAUGGCUAUGAUUCUUUGUGAUAGAUUAUUAAUUUUUUUGCGUCUUCAAUUGAAGAUACGAUUGUUGUACCAUUCUCCGUUAACAAUUUUUUUUUUUUAGAUUAAAGAUACAAUGCGCCUUCUUGGGGUGGUUAAAUCAACAUCUGUGCUUUCUUCAAGGCUGGGAGUUGGUGGUUCUACAGGAGGGUGGAUUAUUGAAGAGUUUACUGCUCAGAUGCGUGCGGUAUCAAAGAUUGCAUUGCACCGUCGAUCUAAUUUAGCUUCUUUUCUUGAUGCAAAUGGUAUUUUUACAAUCUCUUUAUAUUUGUGGGAGCUUGUGUGUGUUAAUUAGAUUUUCACUUUAAAUAACCCCAACCCAAAGCCCACCCCUCCUGUUUACCAACUGAAAUGAGGGUUAAACGUGUUAUUAUGAAUCUCUUAUAUACCUAUUUACUUAGUGAUUUAAUCUGCAAGAAACUAUGUUGUGUUUCCUUGGCAUCGUAAUAUGGGGCUCAAGUUUGUUCUGGAACCCAGUUAAUUAUCAUGAUUUUUUUUUUAAUUUAAUUUAAUUUAAUUUAAUUUUUCUUGGGGAAAAAAAAUGAUACCUGCAAGUGUGGGUGAACCUUAAAAUAUGUGAUCAUAUAUGAACGGUUAUCUUUUGUAGAAGAAUUCUUUUUGCGUCCUAACUGUUAUUUUCACUGUGUGUUCCAAAUUCCCUUCUGUGUUGAUGACAAAGUGCUCAGCAGUAGAUAUAUGGCCUUAACUUAUCAACUGCUUCCUCUUUUAAUAUGUUAGUUAUUCUAGGAUGUUCUGUCUUCUCUUUCCUUCCCUCCCCCUUGCCACCCCCUGUUUUUGAGAGCUCUUUCUUCUUGGAUCCUAUGGUGCUGAAAUAUUGGUUGUACUUGUUGUUGCUCAUAUGAGAAUUGAGAAUUGAGAAUUGUCAACUAAGCCAAUUUUCAAAAGCUUGAAGCAACUUAAUUUGUUGUUUCUCCAAAAUUGAUGGGCUUUCAAAUUGUUUUCUCAUCUUUUCAGAUGGUUGACUGUGGAUCUGUUCUAUUUGUCAUUUUGAUCAAUGCAGGUCCCGAAUUGAUAGAUGGGCUUAUGCUAGUUCUAUGGGGAAUUUUGGACUUUGAGCAACCUGACACGCAAACAAUGAACAAUAUUGUUAUUUCUUCUGUGGAGCUGAUUUACAGUUAUGCUGAAUGUCUGUCUCUACAUGGAAAAGAUACAGCAGGGAGUACUGUUGGACCUGCAGUUGAACUAUUUAAGAAACUUCUGUUCUUUCCUAAUGAGGCAGUUCAAGCUUCUAGCAGGUUCUUUUAUUUAUUUUAUUUACUUAUUUAUUUUUUUUGGGUAUCGUAUGCAGGAUCGCUUGAUCUAUUUAAAAUUUGGUGUUAACUUCUAAUUCCUUGCUUCCCAGCUUGGCAAUAUCAUCGAGAUUGCUUCAAGUUCCGUUUCCAAAGCAAACUAUGUUAGGGGCAGAUGACAUGGCAGAUAAUGCGGUGUCUACCUCUGCGCCUGCUGAGACACCUAGUAGAAAUACACAAAUUGUGAUUGAAGAAGAUUCUAUUACCUCAUCUGUUCAAUAUUGCUGUGAUGGCUGCGCCACUGUUCCAAUACUUAGGCGGAGAUGGCAUUGCACUAUUUGUCCAGAUUUUGAUUUAUGUGAGGCAUGUUAUGAAGUGCUAGAUGCAGACAGGCUUGCCCCUCCUCAUUCUAGAGAUCAUCCUAUGACAGCGAUCCCAAUUGAAGUAGAAUCUCUAGGAGGAGAUGGCAAUGAAAUUCACUUCUCGGAUGAUGUGAGUGAUUCAAGUAUGAUGCCUGUCAGAGCUGAUGUCAGCAUGCAGGAUUCUGCUCCUUCAAUUCAUGUCUUGGACCCUAAUGAGUCUGGAGAAUUUUCUGCCUCCAUGCCGGACCCUGUUUCCAUUUCUGCCUCAAAACGAGCUGUGAAUUCCUUGCUUCUCUCCGAGCUUCUUGAACAGUUGAAAGGAUGGAUGGAAACGACCUCUGGGGUUCGAGCUAUCCCUGUUAUGCAACUAUUUUACAGAUUAUCAUCUGCUGUAGGUGGCCCAUUUAUAGACAGCACAAAGCCUGACAGCUUAGAUUUAGAGAAAUUAAUUAAGUGGUUUCUGGAUGAAAUGAAUCUCAACAAACCCUUUGUAGCCAGAACUCGAUCUUCUUUUGGGGAAGUUGCAAUCCUUGUCUUUAUGUUCUUCACCUUGAUGCUUCGGAAUUGGCACCAGCCUGGCAGUGAUAGUUCAUUUUCAAAACCGAGUGGGAACACAGACUCUCGUGAUAAAAGUAGCAUGCUGAGUUCGACUUCAGCUGUAUCUCAGCCUCCCUUGGAUGAUCAAGUGAAGAAUGACUUUGCAUCCCAGCUGCUCCGUGCAUGCAGUUCUCUUAGAAAUCAAUCUUUUGUUAAUUAUUUGAUGGAUAUUCUGCAGCAAUUAGUGCAUGUCUUUAAGUCUCCUGUCAAUUUUGAAAGUGCACAAGAUCUGAGUGCUGCCUCUGGGUGUGGGGCUCUACUAACAGUCCGAAGAGAUUUACCAGUGGGUAAUUUCUCUCCUUUCUUUUCAGAUUCAUAUGCAAAAGCCCAUCGCACAGAUAUUUUUGUCGACUAUCAUAGGCUGUUGUUGGAGAAUUCUUUUCGACUGUUAUACACCUUGGUUAGACCAGAAAAGCAAGACAAGAAUGGGGAGAAAGAGAAGGUCUACAAGACAUCCUCUGCUAAGGAUUUGAAGUUAGAUGGAUAUCAGGAUGUUCUGUGCAGUUACAUCAAUAAUCCCAAUACAACAUUUGUGAGAAGGUAUGCAAGGAGGCUUUUUCUGCAUCUAUGUGGAAGUAAAACUCAUUAUUACAGUGUUCGAGACUUGUGGCAGUUCUCUACUGAGGUGAAGAAGCUCUACAAACAUGUAAAUAAAUCCGGCGGUUUCCAGAAUCCUAUCCCAUAUGAAAGAAGUGUUAAGAUUGUGAAGUGUCUUUCUACAAUGGCUGAAGUAGCUGCUGCACGGCCUCGAAACUGGCAGAAGUACUGCUUGAGGCAUGGAGAUGUUUUGCCCUUUUUGAUGAAAGGAGUCUUUUAUUUUGGUGAAGAAUCUGUCAUCCAGACUCUUAAACUACUAAAUUUGGCCUUCUAUUCAGGAAAGGAAAUGGGCCAAUCUUCACAGAAGUCUGAAGUUGGGGAUUCAGGAACAAGUUCUAACAAAUCUGGUUCACACACUCUGGAUUCAAAGAAGAAGAAGAAAGCUGAAGAUGGAGAAUCUGGUUCUGAGAAGUCCUAUUUAGAUAUGGAGGGAGUCACAGAUAUCUUCACUGAAAAAGGUGGUGACGUCCUGAGGCAAUUUAUCAUCUGCUUUUUACUUGAAUGGAAUUCAAGCUCUGUGCGUGGUGAGGCGAAGUGUGUUCUUUAUGGAGCAUGGCAUCAUGGAAAGCAUACAUUCAAGGAAACCUUGUUAAUGAAUCUGCUUCAGAAAGUAAAGUGUCUGCCUAUGUAUGGUCAGAAUAUUGUCGAGUAUACUGAACUUGUUACUUGGUUGCUGGGGAGGGUCCCUGAGAACAGUUCAAAGCAACUGAGCACCGAACUUGUGGACCAUUGCUUGACCACUGAUGUAAUUAAGUGCUUCUUUGAGACACUUCAUUCACAAAAUGAGCUUAUAGCUAAUCACCCAAAUUCCCGCAUAUACAAUACUUUGAGUGGUCUGGUGGAAUUUGAUGGUUACUACCUUGAGAGUGAGCCUUGUGUUGCCUGCAGCUCUCCUGAGGUUCCCUAUAGCAGGAUGAAGCUUGAAAGCCUGAAAUCUGAAACAAAGUUUACCGAUAACCGUAUCAUUGUGAAAUGCACUGGGAGUUACACCAUCCAGACUGUGACCAUGAAUGUUCAUGAUGCUCGCAAGUCCAAAUCUGUGAAAGUCUUGAAUCUCUACUACAACAAUCGGCCUGUGGCAGACUUGUCGGAGUUGAAAAAUAAUUGGUCCUUGUGGAAACGUGCAAAAAGUUGUCAUCUUGCUUUUAAUCAGACUGAGCUGAAAGUUGAGUUUCCCAUUCCCAUAACUGCUUGUAAUUUUAUGAUUGAGCUGGAUUCUUUCUAUGAAAAUCUUCAGGCUUUGUCCCUUGAACCACUGCAAUGUCCCCGUUGCAGUCGACCCGUCACUGAUAAACAUGGGAUUUGUGGCAACUGCCAUGAGAAUGCAUAUCAAUGCAGGCAAUGCCGCAACAUUAACUACGAGAAUCUGGAUUCUUUUCUGUGUAAUGAGUGCGGCUAUAGCAAAUAUGGACGGUUUGAGUUCAAUUUCAUGGCGAAGCCUAGUUUUACUUUUGAUAACAUGGAGAAUGAUGAAGAUAUGAAGAAAGGGUUGGCUGCUAUAGAAUCAGAAUCAGAAAAUGCUCAUAGGAGAUAUCAGCAGCUUUUGGGCUUCAAGAAGCCCCUUCUUAAGAUUGUAUCAAGCAUUGGUGAAAAUGAGUUGGAUUCACAGCAGAAGGACUCUGUCCAGCAGAUGAUGGUCUCUUUGCCAGGACCUUCUUGUAAGAUAAACCGUAAAAUUGCUCUUCUUGGCGUCUUAUAUGGUGAGAAGUGCAAAGCUGCUUUUGAUUCUGUCAGCAAAAGUGUUCAGACAUUGCAGGGACUUCGUUGGGUCUUGAUGAAUUAUUUGCAUCAGAAACAGUCAGAUAAUGCCAUGGCUGCUUCAAGAUUUGUGGUUUCCAGGUCGCCUAAUAAUUGCUAUGGGUGUGCUACUACAUUUGUGACACAGUGUCUCGAGAUUUUGCAAGUUCUGGCAAAGCAUCCCAGUUCUCGGAAACAACUUGUUGCAGCUGGCAUUUUAUCGGAGUUGUUUGAAAAUAAUAUCCAUCAAGGUCCAAAGUCAGCCCGUGUCCAAGCAAGGGCAGUGCUUUGUGCUUUCUCUGAGGGGGAUAUUAAUGCAGUUACAGAGCUGAAUGGAUUAAUACAGAAAAAAGUGAUGUACUGCCUGGAACAUCAUCGCUCCAUGGACAUCGCUGUUGCCACUCGUGAGGAGUUAUUAUUACUAUCAGAAGUGUGUUCACUGGCUGAUGAAUUUUGGGAAUCGAGAUUACGAGUUGUCUUCCAACUUUUGUUCUCUUCCAUUAAAUUGGGUGCCAAGCAUCCUGCAAUAUCUGAGCAUAUUAUACUUCCUUGUCUGAGAAUAGUAUCUCAGGCAUGUACUCCUCCAAAGCCUGAUACAGCAGAUAAAGAUCAAGCUUCGGCAAAAACUGCUGCUGUUGUGCAGCUGAAGGAUGAAAAUAGUGCAAAUUCAUCUGGAUCUUUCAAUGGUGCUGUUUCCGGUGGUAAAUCUGUACCAGAGGAAAAAAAUUGGGAUGUCACUAAUAAGACCCAAGAUAUUCAGUUGCUGAGUUAUUCAGAGUGGGAGAAGGGAGCAUCGUAUCUUGAUUUUGUUAGAAGGCAAUACAAAGUGUCUCAGGCAGUCAAAAGUUCUGGGCAGAGAUCCCGGCCUCAGAAACAUGAUUACCUUGCUCUUAAAUAUGCACUUAAGUGGAAGCGGCGUGCUUGUAAGACAGCUAGGGGUGACUUGUCAACAUUUGAGUUAGGGUCAUGGGUCACUGAACUUGUCCUGAGUGCUUGUUCUCAAUCUAUCAGAUCAGAAAUGAGCAUGCUGAUUAGCUUACUCUGUGGCCAAAGUCCAUCCAGACGAUUUAGGUUGUUGAAUUUACUGAUGGGUUUGUUGCCGGCAACUCUUGCUGCUGGUGAAAGUGCUUCAGAAUAUUUUGAAUUGCUCUUCAAGAUGAUUGAUUCAGAAGAUGCUCGUCUAUUCUUGACAGUACGGGGAUCUCUGACAACAAUUUGCAAGUUAAUUACGCAAGAAGUUGGUAACAUUCAAUCUCUAGAAACGAGUCUGCACAUUGACAUUUCACAGGGAUUCAUCCUUCACAAGCUUAUAGAGCUCCUUGGAAAAUUUUUAGAGGUCCCUAAUAUUAGAUCCAGGUAUCAUCGCAACUGUACUAGUUUUGUUUCAUGUCAAGAUGUUUAUUUCUUGUUUCUUAGCAAUUCAUUUUGAUGCCAGGUUCAUGCGAGAAAAUUUGCUAUCUGAAAUCCUUGAGGCUCUUAUUGUCAUUCGAGGUCUGAUAGUGCAGAAGACAAAGUUGAUUAGUGAUUGCAAUCGGCUUUUGAAAGAUCUUCUAGACAGUCUUCUCCUUGAAAGCAGUGAAAAUAAACGUCAGUUUAUCCGGGCUUGUAUCUGUGGUCUUCAAAUCCAUGGAGAGGAGAAAAAAGGACGAGCUUGUUUGGUAUAUUGCUUAACCUUCUUCUUCUUUUAUUCUUAAAGUUUGAUAUAUUAGUUUCCAACAAAUUUCGGAUACAGUUUGACUUUUUCCCUCUUGAUCUCUUUAGGGAAAGAAUUCUCAAGUAUACUGAACGCACGGGUUGAAUUAUGCCUCCAAAUUGGUUCUUGUAAAAAUUUAGUUUUGUAUUCCAGGAAGGUUCCUAAAAUUAAAAAAUAAAAUGUGUAGAAUUAGGUUCUCUUCAUUUCCGGUGGCACACUUAUUAUUCAAUUUAGUUUAAAUAACCUAACUAUUCCUGAUUCUUUGUUUUUAUUAUCAACUUCUUCUGCCUGGAAUUGUGAACCUGGAUUCUCUUAUAGCAGGAUGUGCAUGGUUUUUGUGAUUGUAUCUUGUUGACGAUUUCCUUACUGCUCCUCUUUCUUUGCCUGCAGUUUAUCUUGGAACAGCUAUGUAAUUUAAUCUGCCCAUCAAAACCAGAGUCGGUGUACCUGUUGGUUCUAAACAAGGCACACACACAAGAAGAGUUUAUCAGGGGAUCAAUGACUAAAAAUCCUUAUUCCAGCGCUGAGAUUGGUCCGUUAAUGCGUGAUGUAAAAAAUAAAAUUUGCCAUCAAUUGGAUCUGUUAGGCCUUCUUGAAGAUGACUAUGGCAUGGAGUUGCUAGUAGCUGGUAAUAUUAUUUCACUUGAUUUAAGCAUUGCUCAAGUUUAUGAGCAAGUCUGGAAGAAGUCAAGUAGUCAAUCUUCAAGUGCCAUCGCCAAUUCUACCUUGUUAUCCUCCAGUGCUGUGACAUCAGCUAGAGAUUGCCCACCAAUGACAGUGACUUAUCGGCUUCAGGUUUGUUUAUACUGUUUGAAAAUUUGCGAUGAAUUUCAGUUACUGACAAGCUGGACUGUGCUUCACCGUUAGACUACAUUUUUUUAUUUAAAAAAAAAAAAAUUCUAACAGUGGAUGUUAACUCAUGUCUUCAGAUUUUAUACAGUGGACACUUGCGUCUUUCAUACUUAUAAUUUGCGCUUUUCGUUAUCAUUUAUCAGUUUUUGUUGUUUGUGUGGUAACGCACCAUUUAUAUACUUUUGACCCGAAGAUAUGCACUGCUUUCUUGUAUAUUCAUUCAUUUAUAUUUUUGUUCAAUUUGCAGGGUUUAGAUGGUGAAGCUACUGAGCCUAUGAUCAAAGAAUUGGAGGAAGAUAGAGAGGAAUCACAAGAUCCAGAGCUGGAAUUUGCCAUAGCAGGUGCAGUCAGGGAAUAUGGUGGACUGGAAAUUUUAUUGGGCAUGAUCCAGGUGUGUAACUUAUCCUAAAAGAAAUCCUGGAAUUUGGAAGAAAAUUUUAUUUUAUUCUGACUCAAUUGUCGAGGCUAUUGUCUUUUAUGUUUCGCAUGGGUAUGUAGUGCAGCUAUUCUGCACUCAGAUAACUAUCAAAUUCUUCACUCUUUAAGCCAUCAGAUAUAGGCUUUUAUGCAUUUAUAGGUUUGUAGUAAAUAGAUGAUUAAUUCUUAAAGUUAUUUUGCUUCACAACCAUCAUGGAGGUUUCUCUCAUCUGUUAUUGAGGUAUCUGACUUCUGAUUUGAUGUUCAGCAUUUGCGAGAUGAUUUGAAGUCCAACCAAGAGCAGUUGGUCGCUGUUCUUAAUCUUCUAAUGCACUGCUGCAAGAUAAGAGAAAAUAGACGGGCCUUGUUAAGACUAGCAGCUUUGGGUCUGCUUCUUGAAACUGCAAGGCGUGCCUUUGCUGUGGAUGCUAUGGAACCGGCAGAAGGCAUUCUUUUGAUUGUUGAAAGUCUGACUCUGGAAGCAAAUGAAAGUGAUAGUAUUAACAUCUCUCAGAAUGUUCUUACAGUGACUAGUGAGGAAAGUGGCACAGGCGAACAGGCUAAGAAAAUAGUUCUUAUGUUCCUGGAAAGAUUGUGCCAUCCAUCUGGCCUUAAAUCGAACAAACAGCAGAGAAACACUGAGAUGGUUGCAAGAAUCUUGCCUUAUUUGACAUAUGGUGAGCCUGCUGCGAUGGAAGCACUAAUUCAGCACUUUAACCCUUACCUGCAAGAUUGGGGUGAAUUUGACCGGUUGCAGAAACUACAUGAAGACAACCCAAAAGAUGAGAACAUUGCUCAGCAAGCAGCUAAGCAGAUGUUUACAGUCGAAAAUUUUGUUAGAGUUUCAGAGUCACUGAAGACAAGUUCCUGUGGGGAGAGAUUGAAGGACAUUAUUUUAGAGAAGGGUAUAACAGGUGUUGCUGUUAUGCAUUUGAGAGAGAGUUUUGCAGUUGCAGGGCAGGCUGGCUACAAAUCCAGUCCAGAAUGGUCAUUGGGUUUAAAACUCCCAUCUGUCCCACAUAUAUUGUCCAUGCUGAGGGGCCUGUCGAUGGGGCACUUGGCCACUCAGAGAUGUAUUGAUGAGGGAGGAAUUUUGCCUCUGCUUCAUGCUCUGGAAGGAGUAUCGGGAGAGAAUGAAAUUGGUGCUCGGGCUGAAAACUUGUUAGACACACUAUCCAAUAAAGAGGGAAAAGGAGAUGGAUUUUUGGAGGAAAAGGUGAGUAUGUUGCGACAUGCCACUAGGGAUGAAAUGAGGCGUCUUGCUUUAAGGAAGAGAGAGCAGUUACUUCAGGUACUAUUCCGUCAAACUACUUGCUGCAAUUGUAUCGGUGGAUAUCUACAUGGUUAUAAUCUAGUGCAACGAAAACAUAAAAGUAAUGAACUUUAAUUUUUUUUUUUUAAUUCUGCAGACUUCCUACUCUUAGUUUUAAGUUUUUUUUUUUUUUACCACCACCCGAAGGUGGGGGGUUAGGUAGGACCCCUACCUGUAAACUCUUAGUUUUAAGUUCUUUUCAGCAUUCAUUUUAACUUUUUUAGAGCUUUGCUUGUACUAUUUUUUCCCUUUUCAACACACUGGGCUGUAUUUUUGUUCUCUUUGGAUUUCCUGAACAAUGGGGAGCUACUAGUGGUGCACACAUACCUAAUUGUUGGUUGUCCCUGCCUCCCUUCCUUUAACAUUUUCUGCUUUAAUGCUUUCGUUAGUCUAGAAUCUGUUGAUUAUCUUGAAGCUAAAAAUAUAUUAGCUUCUAGGUAGAAAGGAACAUAGGAAGAGAGUAGUAGAAUGAUAUAUUUGUUAAUUAUGUAACUAUACCUGAUAUGCAUUUUCCCCCCUUGAAUUAGGGACUUGGAAUGAGACAAGAACUAGCUUCAGAUGGUGGCGAGCGAAUUGUGGUUGCUCAGCCAAUUUUGGAAGGUUUAGAAGAUGUAGAGGAGGAGGAGGAUGGAUUGGCAUGUAUGGUGUGCCGAGAGGGCUACAGUUUGAGGCCUACUGAUUUGCUUGGUGUUUACUCUUACAGCAAGCGAGUGAACUUGGGUGGUGGUACUUCAGGAAGUGCUCGUGGAGAAUGUGUAUACACUACUGUCAGUUAUUUCAAUAUCAUUCACUUCCAGUGUCACCAGGAAGCCAAAAGAGCAGAUGCUGCUCUGAAGAAUCCAAAGAAAGAAUGGGAGGGAGCUACCCUCCGGAACAAUGAAUCUCUUUGCAAUUCCUUAUUUCCUGUGAGAGGUCCAUCUGUUCCAAUAGCACAGUAUGUCCGCUAUGUUGAUCAGUACUGGGAUAACCUCAAUGCUCUCGGCCGUGCUGAUGGGAACCGGCUCCGGCUGUUGACUUAUGACAUUGUUCUGGUACAAAAUAAUUGUCAUAUGUGUCUUCCCUUUUCAUUCAGAAUUAUGAUUGAAGUUGGCAAGAUUGGUGUUGAGUCAUUGUUAAUCUUUAUGUUUCUAACAUCCAUGUAAUUUUCUGAUGCAGAUGCUUGCUCGAUUUGCAACUGGGGCAUCAUUCAGCGCAGAGAGUAGAGGUGGUGGAAGAGAAAGCAACUCCAAGUUUCUGCCUUUUAUGGUACAAAUGGCUCGCCAUCUUCUCGAACAUGGAAUCCCCUCCCAGCGCCAUAGUUUGGCCAAGGCUGUAUCGACAUACGUAAACUCUUCCAUGGUAGAUUCUAAACCUUCCACCCCUGGUACGCCUUCUGGAGGAACGGAAGAAACUGUGCAAUUUAUGAUGGUGAACUCACUUCUAUCGGAGUCCUAUGAAUCUUGGUUGCAACACCGUCGAGCCUUCUUGCAACGUGGAAUAUACCAUACGUACAUGCAGCACACUCAUGGUCGGUCAAUGGCUCGGUUAUCAUCUAGUUCAACAAGCACAGGCAAGUUAGAAUCAGGAAGUACGAGCGGAGGCCCUGCGACGGAGUUGGGUGGUGCUGAUGAGCUGCUGUCAAUUGUUCGACCAAUUCUUGUCUACACAGGCUUGAUUGAGCUGAUGCAGCAAUUCUUCAAGGUGAAAAAAUCAGCAAAUGCAGCACCUGUGAAAGCAGAAGGAACCUCUAAAGGGUCAGAAGGGGACGAUGAGAGUGGAAGCUUGGAGGGUUGGGAGGUUGUGAUGAAAGAGCGGCUGUUGAAUGUGAAGGAAAUGGUGGGAUUCUCCAAGGAGUUGCUUUCAUGGCUUGAUGAAAUGGAAGCAGCUACUAAUUUGCAAGAGGCAUUUGACAUCAUCGGUGUUUUAGCCGAUGUACUAUCCGGCGGGAUUUCGCGUUGCGAAGAGUUUGUCAAUGCUGCAAUUGAUGCUGGAAAAGGCUGAGGAAUUCGGCAAAAUUGGGAGCAUGUUAUGUGUUGUAUUUUACAGUAUUUUUCUAGCGUUCCCUGCAAAAACUGAGUAAUACAAUCUUGGUAUUUUCCCAUGAAUAAAUGGGCUUUGAAAAUCUAUCCAUUGAACGCAUAUUUGCUCCUUGUCCUUGGUAAUCAAAACUUUGUUCCAGGAAGAAUUUUGUGUUAGAACAUAUGAGUGAAGUCAAUGAUAAUGUGACAAACUUUGCUGGUGAUGGUACAAUCGUGUUAUAUGUACAAACAAAAUACAAACUUUUCUUGGGAAUGCUACUCGGAUGCUCACUAUUUCUGGCAACAGAGAAUUGACAAGAAGAUAACUUUUAAUUGCCCAUAUGAACAUCCUACAACAUGAAAUUCAAACAAAAAUGUUCAGAAACAAAAGAAAACACAGAUCUUAAUGGGUCUUCAGUUCAUUGCAUCAUAAUCAUCCACCUUAUCAUUGUAUUCCAAGACCUUUCUCUUUAUCUUGGAUGUAUCUACCCAUGUAAUAAAGUCUUCCAUAUUCCUGGUCACGAGGAAUGCAGGGUCUGUAACUGUCUCCGGUCCGACUCGAAUGUGUCCCUGUUCAAUAUAUGUCACAGCUUCUUUCAGGUGCUCAGCAAACUUCAACCGCACCAAAAUGGUGGCAAGCCUGCGUCUGCAACCAAAAGACAUGCUCGCUCACAAGGGAAGAAAAAGAAAACACACAGAAUUGUAGGAAAUAAGACAAUUGCUUUCAUCAUAUUUGACUAUCAGUCAAAAACAUCAAUUCCAAUUCACACAAUGAUUCUAAUUCUACUUCGAGAAGCAUUUGCUUACCUACAGAAGGAUGAAACUGAUAGAUGAUCACACAAAGCCAAGCUUUUCCUGCUUGGUAUUACACCCAUGUUAUAUCUGUCAUCAACAAGGGAAAAACCAAAGUGUCAAAAUAUAAUCAUAAUGUUAGCCAAGCCAACAAUUGAGUUGGUGAACUUAAAAGACAAGGAUAAUGACGCCAUGCGAUGCCAAUGCUUAAAAAAAUAAUAAUAAUGAUAAAAAAAAUUACUCACAGCUUCUCGAGAAGCAUAUCAGUCAUCUCAAUACGAAAAGGGUCUCUUGGAUCCAUCUGCUUCAAUAUAUUAACCAGCUUCUGCACCAUCCCGCACAAACUUGAAUACCUUUUUUUUUUUUUUUUAAUUCACCAAAAAUCACCAUAAAAUCAGAAAAAUGAAAAAUAAUUCAAAAAUCCAAAAGCAAAAACGACCCUAUUCAGGAAUUAACAAAUAUAUAUAUAAAAGAAAUUUACGAACUUACUUCUUGUAAUCGUCGCGGCCGGUGACGUGGUACCGCUGCAAUAUCAUGGCUUCCCUGUGGCCACCUUCUCUUUUCCAUUCUAAAAAAUUGACUUUUUUUAACAACUUCUUCUCAUGGAACUUUAGCUUCCUCAUUAUGAUUCUUUGCUUUAGUAAACGAUGCUGCUAAAUUUUAAGAAAAUUUGAUGAAGAGAGAGACCUAAACCCUAGAAGCAAAGUGAAUACGACACCCUAACUCGCAACUACAAAGUACAAACUAGAAGAAGAUAAUUGGGCCGGGCUUAUUUAUGAUUUGAACAUUAGGCCCAUUUAGAUUAUUCGCCCAAAUAAUGUUUUUAUUUACAUUUUAAAAAUUACUCAAACACUAUUUAGGACAAUUUAAUACAAGACAACAUUAUAUAAUUCUCAUGUCUUAAAUCUAAAACUUUUAUUUCCAACAUCUUAAUAAAUAUUUAGAUAAACGGUGAAGAAAUCAAAAUUUUAAAAAAAAAAAAUUUGACUCCAAAGUAUGUGUAAUACUUUUUUUUUUUAAAAUAAAAAAUAUAAAUACUGUAAAUAUCAUUUUUUUUUUUGUUUUUAACCCUUUUUCUUCUUCUAAGUGUAAGAGAAAUAAAAUGUUCAAAGUCAUUUUCUGGACUACAAAAGUACAAAUAACCCCACCCAUAAAAAUAUGUUCAUUAUUUUACAAAGGAAAAUGAUGUUUGCCUCGGGUCAAACCCCGAAACUAAACAAAACGGCGUCGUUUUGUUUUGUUUUUUUUUGCUUUUUUGCUUCUCCAAAACGUUGCCGUUUCUGAUGGAUUAUUUCACUCACUCUUCCUCUUCGUUUCUUCGUUUCACUUGGGAUUCGUUUCACCUGAGACAAAUAGAAGAGCCAUUCGCGAAAUUAAACACCGUAAAUCUCUUCGUUUCUUCAUUUCUUUUUUUCUUCGUUUCUUCGUUUCUUCCUUACCAAAAAAUUCGUUACUUUCCUUCUCGAGAGCUCUGCUCUGCUUUUUCGUCUUCAAUUCAUGCUAAAAAUCCCAGUCGUUGCCGCCGGCAAAGUACGAUGGGUUCAUGUACGCGAAUCACCCCGUUGACUCGGACACCAUCGUCAUCGAAGCGUUCUUUGACCCGGUCUGCCCCGACAGCAGGGAUGCAUGGCCUCCUCUCAAGCAAGCCCUUCAGCACUACGACCCUCACGUUUCCCUCGUCGUUCAUCUCUUGCUGUUACCGUGAGUCAUCCAUUCUCUGUCUGCUUAUUUGCUACAAUUUUUUAUUAAUUUUUAUUAUGGACUGUGAUUUUGGGAGAGCAAUUUUAAUUAUUUAUGUUAUUUGAUUUUAUUGCUUGUUCAAUCUUUAAUGUUUAGUCUAUACCGAUUGUUUAUGGUGGCACAUAAAAUUAUAUAUGCUUUGUCUCAUAUCGGUCCACGUUUAAUGGUGCAUUGUUUGAGAAUUCGCACAUAAUUUUUUUUUUUUUACUCAGAAAUAAAUAACAAUUUGUUUGCUGGCAUAAAUAAUGCUUUCUAUUAGAGUUACAGGAGAUCUUCAUAUCUUCCUGUCAUUGCAUUGUACCCAAAUCGCCAAUUAGAAGUUCGACCAGGAGACAAAUUUUGUUUUGUCUCAGCCCGCAACUGGAGCCUCCAUUCCGCUACAGCCAGAGGCACCCACAAAGCAGCACUCCAAAACCAACAGAAUAGGAAGAACAGCCACCACGCAACAACCACAAUGCACAAAGCAGCACUCCAAAAUCGACUAGAAUAGCUAGGCACAGACUCUUUGACAUAUGAGAAGCACGGGUUGAGGCGUCACUGUGGCUUCGCUAUGGCUAUUGUGCAGAGGUAUGGUGGCUUUUGAUCGUGGAGUUCAGUGCAAGUUAUGUGGCUUGUAUUGGUCUUGAUUAAAGGUUUUGUGAUCACGGAAUAUUAGUUUUUGUUUGAAAAAAAAAAAAAAUAAAUAAAUAAAAAGAAUAAUGCGCCAAAAUUGUGUCGUACGUUGGGUUUUAAUUUCAGAAUCAAAACUGUGUUGUUUUGGUCUAGAUUGAGGUUUUACUCGGGGUUGGGUUUGACUCAAUUAGUGUAUCAUCACUCGAAAAUUAUUUCGGCCUUGAAAAUAACUCUCGCAUUUUCCUUUGAUCCCGUUUCACUAAUAUUUAUAUGCAUGCAAAAAAAUCACAUUGAACUUCAACACCAUCACUCUUUAACCACAAAAUCACUCUUUAGAGGCUCAAAAAAACUACGUGGGUAUAACAUUUGUUUCUUUGUCCAAAUUGGGUCCGAGAAUUUCACCACUCCAACAAAUUUUCCUAUGACUUUUUAGAAAAUUUUUGAAAAUAAAAAAAAAAUUAUUCCAAAUUGACCCCCUUUUUUUCUAUGGUCUAAUUUCACUAAUAUCUGUGUACGUGCCAAAAAAAAAAUGAGCUCAAAAUUCAAUAUCAUCAUCUUUUUAUCAUAAAAUUAUCCUUAAAAAGCCCAAAAACCUUUGGUUUCGAGUCCGGGGAAAAAAUUUAGAUUUUUUUUUACCAAAAAGGAUUACAAAAAAGUUUCACAUCAAUAUGGUGAAAUUCCCUAAUUUCACAUCUAUUUGGUACGCUCUUCUAAUUUUUUAAUUUUUUUUCUAACUUUUUGAAAAUUUGUAAAAAAUUAUUCCAAACUUUCAAAUAUUUACAUUUAUCAAUAGUAACAUGCGUGCAAAAUCACUUGAAAUUCAAAAAGUAAUUUUUUUCACUAAAAUCUUAUUUAAGACAGAGAGGUCUUUUAAGAAUUUGACAUCAAUUCAAUAAAACUUUUAUAUUUUUAUUUUUUCGUUAUUUUUUUCAAUAUUUCAAAAAAAAAAAAAUUCACCAAAUAUUUUUUCGUUAUUUUUUUCAAUAUUUCAAAAAAAAAAAAAUUCACCAAACAUUCCGGCCUCCAAAUUUACGAUUUUUAAGGAAAAAAAAAGAACUAAUAAUAUUUUAAAAUAGAUGUUUUAUAUUUAGUAUUGAUAAAUAAAUAAUACAAAAGUAAAAUAGUAAUAACUAGUUUAGAUGCUUGUGUCUGAGUUUUGGAUACCAAAGGAUCACUUAGCACAUGAUUCAUUAGAUUUGAUUGUCCCACAUUAUUGUACGGAUUCCUGGAAAGUUCCAUCAACAAGAAGAGGUAGAUACCAAACUCUAAGUUGUGAAAAAAAAUCAAAACUUGUUCAUUUUGUUGUAAGGCAAAAAAAUUCGGCUAUUAAUGAAUAUGAACAAGCUACCCCUUGGUGGGUGUGAACUUAUAUACCCCAUUGAAAUUCAACAUUAAUUAAAGGCGACAGCUAUGAUUAUAAUGAAGCUUCUCUAUCAACAGAAGCUGCAACAUCUGCUACAUAUUUGCCGCCUUGUGAAAUGUUGCAUGAAAACAAAUUAAAAAAAAAAUAAAAAAAGCCCAUGUGAGUGAGAGUUGAUAACCCAUCAAAAGUUCUGCAACAUUUCCAUCUCCUAUCCACCACUUUACCAUCAAUCCAAUAUCUAACCCCGCUUCACAAAAUAAUAAGACGAAGAGGGAUCGACACAUGCCUAUUGCCGCCAUUCACCAGUCGCCAAUGCUUAAAAAUUGAACCCAUUUUAGGAGUUUUUUUUUGCUUUUCUUUUGCCGUGCGGUGAAGGUAAGUUGUAGUUUCAUGAUAGGACAUUAUUGUUGUGCCCAAUCCAAAAUCGUCCCUCGCCAUCAUGAGAUGAGGACCUUUGUAGAUUUUACUAGACUUUUAUCAUAUUUUUCUUUUCGUGGGCUUUAUUUUUAAUAUUACAUUACAAGUAGUGACAAUUUAUCAUGAUUUCUUAGCCAUGAAAUAGUGGCUAAUUUUAAUAGGUUGGAUCAACUUUCAAAUAUUUAGAAGAAAAAUAUUAUCUAUACAAAGAUGCUUGAAUCCUUUGAAUCCUUUUUCAUAAGUGACUACCACCCAAAACACAACCAAACUAAUAAUAAUAAUAAUAAUAAUAAAGAAAAAUCUAUCUGCAAGUAAUUUUAAUUAAAUUAUUAUUUUUCUUUGUAAGACUCGACUGGAAGUUUGAUUCGGCGGAUGAGACUCUAACACGGUUCUACUGCUGUGAAUACAUUAAAUACGCAUAUUCUCAAGAAUUUCGUUUCUCAAAAUAAAAUAAUUUCUUAUGGGUAAGUGAAGUAUAUUAAUAUAAUAUAGAGUUCCAUGAUUGAAUAUCCAAAAGCACUUCUUCUUCCUAUCAAUACAUACGGCUAAGAAGCGCUUUUAAUGUGUGACGGUUCUCAACCAAAAGGAGAAAGAAAAUUUGUCCGUCUGUUUUUUCAAUUUGCAUAAAAAAAGCUGAAAAGAGAAAUGUGUGUCUGCCAAAUCAUGAAUUGAAAGGCUUUUUAUUUAUUUAAUGCCCAUAUUUGGUUUAUUUUGUGUUUAUACAUUUAUAUAAGGAAGUCAUGUAACCGACAAGCUUUUCACAGGUUCCAAACAACUUUCCUUUUUCUUUAUAGAUUAUUAUAAUUUUCACCAGUAACAAUUUAAAAAAUUCACGAAUAAUAAUCACGGGGGGCUUAAUUUUGUCACAAAUAUAAAACUCCCGAAACAAUAUCCCGACGUUAUCACAACUUGCAUUGCAUGCUUUGCUUAGAACUAAGAAUAAAUUAACGUUAAUCACUCCAUUAUUCUGCCUUUUUUUUUCAAUGGAUUAAAGCAAGCAAAUCUUUUUUUUUUACUGAAAAGUAAGUGUAUCGAUAAUCUUUCUAAACAAAUUUAUUCAUAAAAAAAAAAGGAAUGAAUAUGUUAUUAAUUUCUUAUCCUUGUAGGUUAAGAAUUUAUUUACAUUUGCCUUUUAAUUAUUUUAUUGUUACUCGAAUACAUUUGCUUGUAAGGAACUAGCUAGUUUUUUACCCAAGUGAGUAAAUACAUGUUUUCUCUAUUUCUUAUAAUUGUAAAUGAAGGUGUCAAUUAUAAUAUAGCAACGUACAUGCAAUCCACUGUCUUAAUAUGGAUCAAGCAAAAAUGUCACUAGCAGACAUGAUUAAACAAAAGACUUAGACGUUAUAUCAAUUAAGAUGAUAAGAAUAUCAAGAAAAAAAAAAUCAUCAAAAUUUAAUUUGAGGGUACAUGGACAUUAAUCUUAUAUCAAAUUCUGUUGGGUGUUAAUACAUUAAUGUUUGGGAUUUGGGAAGGUCCCUUGUCCAUAUAAUGUUGGUAUAUGUUUUAACUACGUGUUCUUUACAAACAAAGACAUCAUAACUACAUCAAAUAAAUCUCUAAAUUUGACAUAUAAAAAAAAAAAGGUAUUAGAUGAAAUAUAUUUUCAUGUUCAUGAGCAAAUUUGCCAAAGGAAGACUGUCGGUGGAACCUAUAAUAUGCUACAUCCUACAUGCAUUUAGAAUUGGUUGUUGUUGUGAUUAUUAUGAUUGGGGUCAAUGUAUUUGUGGGUUGCAUGAUAGGAAUAUUAAAUAUCAAAUAAAGUUAUUUUACAUUGGAGGUAAUAAAUAUCAUAUAUAUAUAUAUAUAUAUAUAUAUAUAUAUAUCAUCAUCAUCAUAAUACAAAAAAAUAGUAAUAAUUAUGACGAGUCAUCCCAUGUUCUCAGUUCAUACUUGUUUUUAAUAUCAUAGUCCAUACUUUAAUGAAUUAUUUAUUAUAAUAACAUAAUAUUACAAGAACCAAAAGAACUACAUAAUAUUGUUAUAUAACAUGUACUUCAAAACCAUUAUAAUUAUGGUAUCAAUUAAUUAAGAAUAUAUGUUGGUAUAACUAAAUGAUAUGACCCUUGGAUGCCAAAUAACAUAUUACUUUGAAAGACCUUAUCUUUCUCCCAACAAGCUAUUUUUCACUCUUUAAUUUAUAUAAUUAAAAGUAAUAAAAAAGGGGAAAAAAAAGGCUGUCUGUGAUCACGGUACUUUUUGUGCAUCUUACUUCAUACUUUCAUAGUUUGGGCACUGUAGUCGAAUCCGAGAAUAAAUUAUAAGUAUAAAAUAUACAUCAAUUUUUACAAGAUUUACUUUAUCGUCACCAAAAAAAAAAAAAAAAAGCAAUCCAUCUUUCAAAAUCACUACCUACUAUAAUGAGUCAUUCCUCAUUAACUACAAUAGUUUCUCCAUUUUUCAAAAAGGUCAAUUAAGUGAAAUCAGAAAAAAAAAAAAUUACCAAAGCAAAAAUUGUCUCAAUGUGAGUGGUGAAUGGUGAUGAUAUAUACUUUCUCAACCUUUUUCGUAGCAAAAACCCAAUCUCUAUAGUAAAUGCAACGCUUGCGCCUUAAUAACUGGCUUUGUUUAAUAUUUAUUUGUUUCGUUUCACUUCACUUCACUUCACUUCACAUUCACUUUACAUUCAAUUGUUUGUUAUUAUGUACGUAAUGUAUGUGUGUAAUGACCACAACGUCAAUUUAUAGCCAGCCUCAAUUAUCAAAACAAAAAAAAAACUCUCCUCUCUCUCUCUCUCUCUCCCCGCCUCUUCUCUUUCACUGAAUUCUCCGACAACCCUCUCGCCGGGAUCUGGUCGGAAAACGCCACCGGAUUAUCAAGAAACCACACCCCACUCCUCCCAUUCUUCAGUGGAACAACUUGCAUGGAGUUUGCUAUGAAGCUGAGCUUCUGAUAUUGUUUUUUAAUGCAGAAGUUUUAUGAUUAUCGAGGGAGUUCUAGUGUUCCGAAGUGUAGUUUGUUAUGUUAAUCAAGUUUCUUGGAGCAUCAUCAGCAGUAGCUUGUCUUGUGCCGAAGGAGAUAGCAUUCUUUUUUCUUUCUUUUUUUCUUAUUUCACCAAAUUCAAUACUCAAUAUUGUUUAAUGAUUCUUGAUAAUUGAUAUUGAAUCUUGAAUGAACUGAAUUGGAAGGAAUGGCUAUUAUGUGUUAUGUGUGAUGUGUACAAUGUGCAGAGUAGAGAGGCCUAGUGAGAAUAACACUAAUAAUAAGUGUGAAUUACAAGAGUACUUGAUGACGAUGGGAUUAAAGUUUAAUAAUAGUAAGCUGAUGAAGCAUUCACCAAUGGCUGUCUCGCAGUCUCGGGUUAAGCUAUGGAUGAUUAGGGCAAUCACAAGUAUUUUGCUAUGGACUUGUGUUGUUCAGUUGAUGGCAUUAGGCGAGAUGUGGGGGCCAAGAUUGUUGAAAGGCUGGCCUUCUUGUUUUAGUCAUGAUUCUGAUUUGUCUUUGGCUGCUCAAUUUUCUCCUCUUCCUGCUAAAAUUGUUCUUCCACCGAAGAGUAAGUUCAAUAUUUUGCUUCUUUCUAUUCUUUUCCUGGAAAAUUAAUUUUCCGUCAUAAUUUGUAUUUUCUAAUUCCGGGAACGUUUGUUUGUUCUACAGGGGUCUAUAAAAAUAACGGUUAUUUGAUGGUUUCUUGUAAUGGAGGACUCAAUCAAAUGAGAGCUGCUGUGAGUUUGAUUUCUAGCUUGUUUUGAUAAUCUGAUAACACUGCAAUUUAUACUGUGUCCAUUUGUUUAAUUGCUUUCUGAACUUUUUUAUUUUUGCAGAUAUGUGACAUGGUCGCUAUUGCUAGAUACUUGAAUGUAACUCUUAUUGUGCCGGAGCUGGAUAAAACUUCAUUCUGGAAUGAUCCAAGGUAUAUUAAGUUUUGAGUAAUUUUUAUUUUGUUAACUACUCUCAAUUCCAAUUCAAAACAGCCCUUAAUUUUCUCUGAUUGAUUCUCUAUACAUGAACAGUGAGUUCAAAGACAUAUUUGAUGUUGAUCAUUUCAUUGCGUCAUUGAGAGACGAGGUUCGAAUAUUGAAAGAAUUGCCACCAAGGCUUAAAACAAGAGUUGAAUUGGGAAUGUUAUAUUCAUUGCCACCCAUCAGUUGGUCAGAUAUUUCUUAUUACCAUAAUCAGGUCAGUUCCAUGGAGAUAUGUCAUAAAGAUGGACUUAUUUGUUUGCUGAUGCAACUCUAACUUGUUGAAAUAUUUUGAUUCUGCUGACAGAUACUUCCCCUGCUGCAAAAACACAAAGUUGUACAUUUAAACAAAACUGAUGCUAGGCUUGCUAAUAACGGACUGCCCCUUGAGUUUCAGAAGUUGCGUUGCCGUGUAAAUUUCAAGGCAUUAAAAUUUACUUCUCAGAUUGAAGAAUUAGGCAGAAGGGUUGUGAAGAUUUUGAGGGAAAAAGGCCCUUUUCUGGUUCUUCAUCUCAGGUAUGAAAUGGACAUGCUGGCUUUUUCUGGCUGCACUCAUGGCUGUAACAUUGAAGAGGUGGAAGAAUUAACCCAAAUGAGGUAAGUAACCAUUUUGGAUACGAUUUCUUGUCUCACUUUAUGUUUAUCAAGUGUCUGUUGACUGUCGCAUUAACAUGUUGUUAAGAUAUGCGUAUCCAUGGUGGAAGGAAAAGGUUAUAAACUCGGAGAUGAAAAGAAAAGAAGGAUUGUGCCCUUUGACACCUGAGGAAACUGCUCUAGUUUUAACUGCAUUGGGCAUUGAUCACAAUGUCCAAAUUUACAUAGCUGCUGGAGAAAUCUAUGGUGGCCAAAGAAGAAUGGCAGCUUUGGCAGAGGCUUUUCCAAAUUUGGUGAGUCAAAAAAGAAUGCAAAAUCAACUUCAUAUUUACUUUAGCGUACAUCCCUUGAUUAAACUUUCACACGGUCUUAUGCAACAGGUGAGAAAAGAGACUUUGCUAAAAUCAGAUUUGAAGUUUUUCCAAAACCAUUCUUCCCAAAUGGCAGCACUAGAUUACCUUGUAUCCCUUGAAAGUGAUAUAUUCAUUCCUACAUAUGAUGGUAACAUGGCUAAAGUUGUUGAAGGCCAUAGAAGGUAAAAUAAAAAAUUAUUAUGCUUUGCGUUGUGUUGUGUUAGUACAAUUAUUGGAACAUUAAUUAAUCAAGUCUUGGUUUCUUGUGUUCUGUUUUGUAAAAUUUUCAGAUUCUUAGGCUUCAAGAAAACGAUUUUGUUGAACAGAAGGCAACUGGUUGAUCUAAUAGAUCAAUAUAACAAUGGAUCGAUGAGCUGGGAUGAGUUCUCUUCAACUGUGAAGGAAGUUCAUGUUGAUUUGAUGGGGAACCCGAAAGCACGAGUUGUGAUACCUGAUAAACCGAAAGAAGAAGAUUAUUUCUAUGCCAAUCCGCGUGAAUGCUUGCAACAGUUAGAUGAACCAUCGAGGAACACAUGAUUUUUCGUCAUGCCAAUCAGAUGAUUAACCCCAUUUAUACGUGUACCUAUGCGUAUUUAUCAAAGAAAGUGGCCUACUUCAGUUCUUGAAAAUUAAGUUAUGACAGAGCUUUAGGCCUUAUCCUAGACAUUCUUGACAAGUGUUGCAGGAAAAAUAAUAAUCUUUUACAUCUUGAGCAGUCAAGUCCAUAUAUAGAAUCUGAGGCGGGUAAAUGACAGAUCAAAACUAGAUUGUUGUAAAAGCAUCAAAUGUAUACCAGAAAUAAUGAACGUUCAACAAAUUUUCUCUGCAUUUUCUCUCUCGAUUUAAAUCUGAGAAAUGAUAAACUAUUUGUGGCAUGUGAUCGUAAAGAAAGAAAAGUGAUAUUUCGGCAACCUUCUGUCAAUAAAUUUUUUUAUGCCAGAAGACCUUAAUAGUAGCAUUACAUGUGCUAACAUAGACAAGAAGCCAAGAAAUCAGAGAUCUUUUGCUUUGUCAUGGACUAAUGGUCUUCUUGAGCCAGCUGGUUUGUUCUGGCAAAUCCCACAUAGUUAGAAGUCUGAACCAUGUCCGCAUUAUUUAAUUGGUUAAAUGAGCUUGCUCCAUUCUCUCACAAUUGUUUUCUUUUUCAAAAAAUAACCAUAGGAAGGAUGACAUGAUCUCUAAAAUGAUUGCCCAUUAUGCACGCGAUGGCAAGAAGAGCAUUUAUUUCUAUCCACGAUUCAAAAUCCCAAGAAAGUGUCUUGAAGCAUAUCCUCACAUAAACUUGAAAUUGGGUUUGAUGGAGAUGGUAUUGGUGAGCGAUCCAAAGAACCACAGUUAUUGAUCCAAGAAAAUUAUGUUUGUGGGUGAGAUCCAAGGACUCAUAAUCACCCAUUAACAACAUGGCUUUUGGGUCAACUAAAUUAAUGGUGAUGAACGGCUAUGCAUGCAAGUCAGGCACUCCAAACAUUGCUUUCACACCACACUACCACUUUCAAAAGUGGGUGCCAAAUUUUUUUUCAAAAGCUUUAUGAAUAUCCAUCAAAUAAAAUAACAAUGCCGCCACAGAGUUUGUCUUGUUAAAAGAAUGCCUCUUGGUGACUAUAAUCUAGACGGUUUUUAUCUCAAAUCCCAAAAUUAUUCAAAUUAUACAAGCUUUAACGAUUAUGGGUCUGACAAAGUCCACGUGGUAAAAUUUAAUAUAAAGGUAAGGUUAUUUGAACUCAUAAUUUUUUUUUACACCCAGUUCUCAAUAAACACAUAACAUGAAUUUAAAAAAUAAUGUUUUACUCCAUAAAUUAUCUUAAAAUCCAAAAAUAACCCUACAUUAUUUACAACUAGGGUUAUUUUUACUUACCUCCCCUGAGGUUUCACGUAAUAACAAUUUAAUAAAAAGUAUGAUGGUAUUAUUACAUCCCUCCCCUGCUAUUAGUAUUUCUGUCAGUAGACCGUUUAUGAGCCGAAAAAUGACGAAAAUACCCCUUAAUGGCUUAGAGGUACAAUUUCCCAGUUGGUGUGUUCUUCAAGUUCUAUUGAAGCCCUGAUUACAAAACCGAAUCCAAUCUCCGCUCGACGAAUCCGAUCAUUUUGGAGUCACAACCCGAUGCAAGGAAUUUGUUUCCGCUCCCAAUCUUUCUUUCAUCGAAGGCGUUGCCACUAAGGAUAUCCACAUCGAUCCUUUUACGCUGCCCUCAGUCCACAUUUUUCUCCCCAAGUUUGCACUAAACCAUCCCGAGCCUGACUCCAGCCGCAAUCAAAACCUAAACCGCGCGCGAACUCGAAGAAUGCAGAGGCGGACCUACCACGCGACCUGCUUCAUCUGUGGAGGAACAGCCACGGCUCCCCGAAUGCGGUGGUGGCUGAGGAAAGAGGAGUAUCAGAGAAGCAGCUACAGCGGCUACGGCAGUGCCGACGAGGAAGCGAUGAGUUUGAAUGGGAAAUAGGAGGGGGAAAUGGGAUGCAGAAUUAAGAAGCGUGGAAAAAGAGUACGAUGGGGACCACGAUGGGGGCCACGAUGGGGACCAUUUCCACUUGAGGCUUCAAAAUUUUCUUAGUGAAAAAUAGCUAGUAUCCACUAGCAGCACUAUAGCAAAAUUGUUUUGUUUGUGGGUUUGGUUGCUAUUGCUUUUUUCAAUAUUCAAAUAAGACGGUGUGGUGUUUCCUUCUAGAAAUCAUUGCUUCGAUCUUCCUUUUUUUUUUUAACCCCUCCCCCCUUUAAAUAAAGAAUUCAUUUAGCCACCACGAAUGUGCACAAGGGGUAUGUGCUGGUGGAUGUAAAUAGGAGGAAACUACCAGUAAUGUUGCAGUUCCACGGUAGCGGGUGGGUGAGUGGGAGAAUCGCAAGGCUCUGUGAUGUGAUUGUUGUGGUGGUUGGGUAAAGGUUGGCGCCGGAGAAUCAGUUCCCCGCUGCGUUUGAGGAUGGGAUGAAGGUGUUGAAUUGGUUGGGGAAGCAUUUUUUAAUUGUUUUUACCUUAAAUGCCAAAUACUAGUUGGGAUUAAUGGGGUAUUUUUGUCAUUUUCUUGGCUCAUAAACAGUCAACUGACAGGAAUACUAACGGCAGGGGAGGGAUGUAAUAAUAUCACCAUACUUUCUGUUAAACUGUUAUUACAUGAAACCUCAGGGGAAGUAUGUAAAAAUAACCCUUUACAACUACCAGCAAGUCGCCAACAAGUCUUCUUCUUCCCUUUGAUUCAAGUAAAAUCAAUUUGGGAAAAAUAAAAAAAAUUACAUACCACAACUAGUAAAAGAACUUGUAUAAUAUUUUCACUAGAAGUUCUAAAUGAUAGAAUGAAGUUCUUUUAUUCUGAAUUGAUUUAAUCUUUGAUUGUUUUACCCAUUUUCAGGAAGGUUUAAAAAGCUAUACUUAUGCAGAAUUUUUAUUCAAUUAAAAAAAAAAAAGCUAUACUUAUGCAGAAUUUUUAUUCAAUUAUGCAGAAUUUUUAUUCAAUUAAAAAAAAAAAAGCCCUUAAAGGUAAUUUUGUUAUAGGUUAUUUUAGUAAUAAAAACUAUUAUAAAUAAAUGGGUGCAGAGGGUAUUUUUAUGGGUUCAAAUAACCCCACUCUUCAUAUAAACAUUUAGAUGAUGAUUUACAUCCCAAAUUUGAUGAAUUUUGUACUGUGUACACUUUGAUGAACAAUAAAUUACAUAAGAGAGUUUUGAGGAUUUUACCUUCGUUUAAAAUCCAAAUCAAAUAGUUUUUAGUAGCUUUGUCUUCUUCCGACAAUUACUCUUAAGAAUCUGAAAGCAAACCGGCAACAAUGGAGAUAAAGCCAUCACACAAAAAUGCCCAAUAAAACAGUAACGGUAGCAAGGAGUUUCGCAUUAAAACGGAUACCACUAAUGAUCGAAUUAGCUUCUCAUUAUACACAUGGAAGCCCCUCUAUCUGAAUUUCGUAUAAUAAAAGAAUAUAUAUAGCAUAUUUUUUCCCAGGAGAAUCCCAAGCAAUCCAGCAAGCUAAAGAGAAGCAUGUACAAUUCUGUCUGGACAUGGUCACCUUCGAACUUGGGAUGAACCAAAUCAUAACAGCAAGACGAUGAAAGUGCUGCAUCCAGGACAACAAACUAGCUUAGUUCUGUUCUGAGCCUCUUAUGAGUGCGAUCAGAGUCCUCAUUAAAGCUCCGAACUCCAGUUUGUGCCAUUACUUGGUUGUUCUGAUAGUGCGAGUCAUUAUCCUGGAUGAAAGACAAAUAAACUAUCGAGGAGAAAAAUAAAAAAAAAGGGAGAAAAAUAAAAGGAAUUAAGGUUUCACAGAUGGACAAAAUGUAACCCAGAACUGUUAUAGUUGGAGUUUCGUAUCUUGGAAAUAAUACAGAAUCUCAGUGAUAUUGACUCUGAUGUACUGAUAGUAGAAAGUAGGUCUUAAAAGCUAGGUCGAAGAUUAUGUAAAUGACCUUUGAGCUAGAUGCCAUGGCAGUUGACCCAUCAUUAGCCCUUUUGCCAACAUCAAUUUGCACUGAGACACUGGCCUGUGACAGAUCCACACCUGAUGAUCUCAAGGCUUGGGUCAGAGCAUUCAAUAUCCUGUCAAAAUAUGAAAACAUCAAAGGGUAAUAUGUAAUAUAGAAAAUCCAGCUGAACAAUUUCUCUUUGGAUGAGACACAGGAAUGCAGAAUCAAGAACUGGUGAAAAUUAAUUGAUAGUCCAAACCACCAAUUAGAUUGCAAAUCACGAGUCAAAUUCCAUGAAACUUAAAUCUUUAAUUGGUUGAAAACAGAAAGAAGACCAUCAACUGAGCAAAAAAGGGAUUAAACUGAUUACUGAACACAAUGCAAACUUCUGAUAAAUAAAGGCUGCAAGAGAGCAUCAAAUAUUAAAAGCAUUAUACGUAAACUUCAGUCGGGAAAGACACAACAUGUAUAAAAGCAAUUAGAAGGAAUGAUUGUGAAGAAGUCUCAGGUAAAGAACACUCCACAGUGCAGAGUAUAUACAAACAUAAAAAUCUCGAAAUAAACAUGGCCAGAUACCUGAAACUCUAGAAGGACAAAUAUGUAAAAAUAUGCUAGAUUUGACAAUUAAUGCAAAAAAAAAAAAAAAAAACAAUUGUGGCUCACCCUUGAGAAUAGGCAUUUGACAUGCUAGAGGAUCCACUUUCAAUCAUCAAGUCCUGAUCAUUGAGUGCACCGUUUGGAACAGCACACUCUGUUGCACAUGAUCUUCCCUGCCACAAUUGCGUUUGGGGUUGGUAGACCAUAUUCUCAACAUCAGAAACAGAUUCCUGCAAAGGUUGGGUAGGCAUGCCACCCCUCCCAACAGGAGCAAACAUAUUCUGCUGUGCAUGCAUAUUUUGGGGAACCAUUGUAGUAGCAGACCCAGGGGAAAAAUCAGUAGCUUUAUAGGCUGCAGCUGUGUCCAAAUCAGAUUCCAUUGAAUUCUGUGGAUUUGAGAGCAUUCCAGGAUUAAUAACGCUAUUCUCAUGACCAGAACCAUUCUUUAUAACUUGGGAUUGAUCCAUAUAGGUUUCUGCAGGCCCGUUAUGGCUUCUCUGUUCAAAUAGAUGGAAAUCCAUUAGUAAUUCCACUUUGAAAGGAAACAUAUAUGAAUUAAUGUGUUUCAUAACAGUGCAUAAAGAUACAUCAAGAAAAGACAAUGAAAACACGUGCACACACAGAGGUUAGCACAGCAUCAAACACACCAAGCUCAUGAGUAGACAGAAUUAGACAUGGAUAAGGAAAAGCUUAAAUUUCUUGCAUCAUAAUAUGCCCACCACACACAUGCACACACACUCUUUAAGCAUGAAAAUUUCUACCCAUGGUGUCAACUUUGUUGGCUCUUGAGUCCACCCUUGAUAUGGUCCCUCAUACAUCUGCAACUUUUCUCGUAAAAACUGAAUGUACUCGAUCACCUGCACAUAAAUAUAGUUGUUCUUCAACUCAUUCACAAGAAUACAAAACUAAAAUGGCAAAAAGAGAGCACGCCCAAAUAUUUGUAUGCGUAGACAAAACUUGGCUGUGUGGUGUACCUCUAAAAGAAACGAAGCCUUGUCUCUUUUUUGAUCAUUUUGAGGUAUGAGAUCUCUCAACAUUUGAAAUCUGUCAUACAAAACAUACUUGUUUCUUCAGGUAGGAGCAAAUCACUGUCAACAUAUUAAUCAUACAUGAAGACUGGAGUGGCAUCUGAAAGGAGCAAAUAUAUGUGUAAUAACUGCGAAAACCAAUAUUCUGAUCUCUCCGAGUGCUAAAACCCGACAAAUAUAAUGACAGCGUUAAAAUUAAACCAAAGCAAGCAAAGCAGUAAUAAACUGACAGCAAAAUUAUCUAACAUUUUGCACCCCAGUAACAUAUCCAAGUAGUAAAGAGUAAAUUUGGCUGGAAAAGAAAGUGUCAAUCUUGAAAAUAAAUGUGCUUGAAAUUCAAAAAAUAACUCAGCUCCCAGCCAUCAAAAUCUUAAAUUGGUUGCAAUCAAUCAGCACUCUAAUUUCUUCUCUUGCAUAGCCGUCCACCUCCAGUCAUUAUUGACAACCAGCACUAAAAGACAUUAGGGUAUGAUUUAGAAAAUACAUUUUUUGACUUCUGAAACAUUCAUUUUUUAAGUCUAACCAAAACACACAGAAAAAUUACGUUCUAGAAUAGGAAAAUAGAUAAAAUUUUCAAAAGCUUAAUUCAACCAUUUGGAAAACUCAGUCCAUUUGCAGAGAAAGUAGCGCCAAGCUCCUGAAAAGCAGAAGUACCUGUCGAGUGCUCUUUGAAAAAGCACUUCAAUCAUUAUUAAUGAAUCAAAACACACUAAACACGCUCAUAAUCUCACCAUAACUCACACUUCAAAUACAUUCCUUUAACUUCAUCUCAGACGCUGAACAAACAAUUAAGAACAAAUCACUCAACAAACGGGGAAAGAAAAAAAUCAAAACUUGUACCUCUCAUUAAUCUUGCUCCUCCUCCGCUGCUCCGUCUCCGAAUGCUUCGACCGGUGCGUAGUCGCCUUCUGCUCACUACUCUUUCCCUCCCCUGCACCGAAUAAAAAAAUAAACAAAUAAAUAACACUGUAACUCACUCUUAUAGAAACACACACUUGCACGUAUACGUAUUCGUAUAUACCUUUGUACGAAGAGGAGUUGUUUCUAUUAACAUGUUUGUCGUACAAGUCGGCUUCUUCGUCCUCUUCGAGGUAAUUGUUCGAAGACUUUACCAUUUCGUGAAACUGCAGACACCGAUUCUCGAAACGACGUCGUUGCGCUGCAACGCUGACAAUUGAAACGCGGACGGUGGCCAGGGAAAUGAAGCUCCGAAUUGGCACGAGGGCCCAAAAAAAAAAAAAAAGAUAUAAUUUCUUUUGUUGUUAUUAUUAUUAUUAUUACCUUUCUUUUGUCAGCGCAGGAGUCAGGAGUCAGGAGUCAGGACAUGAGUGCUGAAGCCCUAGGCAGGACUGUUUAAAAGAAAUAGAAUUAAUUAAUUAUUUUAUUGAUUAAUUUAUGUUCAUUAAUUAAUUAUUUUUGCUUUUCGGUUUGACAUGGGUUGUUCUGGGUGUUAACAUGCGCGUGGUUAGUGACGUUUAAUUGUUGUUCAGAUAAUUAUCAUCCAAGUCCUUGUACUUGUACUUUGUUAUAAAACGAGAACAUAGUUUGUUUAUUUCAUUAAAUAGGUCCGCACGUUAGGGCGUUUAUGUCGAUUUACUAGUUCUAAUUUUGCCAAUCAAGUGGCAAAAAGGUGAAAAAGCAAAAACGACAAUAUUCAAUUGAAAGUAGAUAUUUUUAUUUCAUUGGUUUGCGAAAGACACGAAUCAUAACAAGUUCUUCUUACACUCCAAAUAUAUUUACUCCGUCACGAGUCGAGUUUUACUUCUGGCAUUACGAAAAUCUUAUAUCAUCAACGCUACCCUAUGAGUAUAAUGAACACCUUGUUUUGAUCAGUACUAUCUUUUGCCACCCUCAUAAUGUAUUUUUGUGCACAUCUCAAUUCCCCAACGCACCAAUAGUUCUUGGUUACGCAGCUUACACGUGCCUUUAUCAUCAUCAGCAGAAGCGUAACUUAUGAACAGAUGAGAAAUGGUUAGCUGCAGCUACUAUUGCUGCCUCUGGCGAGGAAGAUGUUACAGUCGUUGCACUUUUAGAUGUUUCGGUAUCGGCGGUUGCAUGGAAGAGCGAAGAAAGCAACUUUAAGAAAGAUGUGCACCAUAUAUCUUUGCUCAUCUUGAAAUGGAUACUUAAAAUACAAAAAAGUUUAUGAAUAUUGAAGGAAUCAAGAACGUGCGUGAGGCAAAUAAUUGGCUACUUUAAAACUUCUGAGGAUUGUGCGCGCUUCGGCUUUGUUCGAUUUUAGUAAGGCGUGCAAUUAGCCAUUUAUAUAGAACAGGUUUCUUGGGGAUCAAGUGGGGUUGACCGCUGAAACUGGAAAGAUUUUGCUCACUUUUCUUCUCAUGCAUAGUUUCUCAGUAGUUUCUAGACUGCGGUUGCAUGGAACGUCAAUUGUGUUGAUUAGAAUCUGCCAAGUACUUUCUGUUCUUUGGCCCACUGAAUAGUAACAGAAGCGCUUCUGGUGUACAUACUGCACGUUAGGACAACUGAAUAGUUGUAACCCACCAUACCUGGAGAUGGCCUUCCAGACAAGAUAAUAAGUGAGAAUGUGAGUCCGUGAGACGGACCAUUAACAUAUUGGGUUUCCAACCAAACUAAAAAUAAUAUGUAAGCCAUAAACUGAUGCUUUCAACCACUUUCAUGCACAGAAUAUGCUAUACAGAGAGGACAACCAACACCACUAAACCAAGGAAAAUAUUCAUGCAUAUAUAUUAAGAAUCGGAGAUGGUGGGUGUAACCACCAUAUAGCAAAAUAAGAGAACCACAAAAGAACUAUUUCAGCUUUCGCAAGAGUGGUUGUUCACUCAAAAGUUUUACAAGAGCAAAGUUUUCUCAUCACAACUGGAAACAAAAAGAAGAUGAUGACUAAGGCUCAGAACUGUGCUUUCAACUUAAUACGACUGUCGUGAUUUAGUGAAACAAGAUUAAUUUAAAUACAUAAUGUUAAUUGAAUGCAUUGGCAGCAAAGGUUAAGCUACACACAAAAAGAUUUUGUGUAUUCAAUAAAGGAUUAAACACGAACAUCUAUUUCUACUCUUGACCAUGUUACAUUAGUUUCCAGCAUAAAAUAGCUUCGGAAAAUUAGAGGGACCUUCCUAAGAAUGACAAAUCAAACUUAGUAUUCUAUUGAAAACGUCCUAGGCUACAACCUAGACUACAUCAAAACUGGUUGCGGGUUUAAAUAGACACUCACUUUUCACAAAGAUGGCUUGACCUAAAUUGCAUAAUCCAAUGCAGUAGUAUAAGUGCUUCAUACCAGAGCUGAUGGAUGUGAACUGAUACAAGCUAAGGUCACGGACCAGAGUAACGCAGUUCUGGAACUACAACCAGAAAUCUUGCUUCUUUUCCAAAACAGAAGCCGAGACUCUUCAAUGCUCCUUCAUAUUAGCGAAUUAAACUUGGCAAAAUUUUACAUAACUGCAUACAAAGCUGAAAAUGUACCACUGGAGAGACCAGUACCGUAUCUAAAAUAGGCUCUCACUAUUUUUCUCCACUCUCUUCUUCCUGAUCCUCCAAUUGAGCUUCUUCUUUGUUUAUUUCUCCACCACCACUUUCAUGAUUUGAACCAUUAUGCCUGAAAAAUAAUCCAGACGAUGAGGAAUCAUCUUCGUCAAGGUCCUCUUCACUCUCCUUGUCUUUCGACCUUGAGAUUAUUUGACUGUCCAUCCAAGCAGGGCAAUGGUGUACAGCACCAAGUGUAGCUUGAAGUUGGGAGUGAGAAGGACUUGAAGCAUUAACAUACGAUUCUGUAGGAUCAUAUUUCAAGCAUGAACAUUCAGGGACUGGAUGUGAUAGAACUGACAAUGACUUUGACUUUGUGGAUGCUUCUGUCAGUCCAUCAAGCAAAGAUCUUCUUAGAUGCUUGCGUAUAGAUGUUACCCAGGUAUGGUUUGCCUGAUACAAGUGGUCUCUAGUCUCUUCUAACAGCUUGACAACUUUUCUCCUGUGUUGACAGAAGCAGAAGAUAAGAAAUAUAAAUAUAUAUGUGUCCAAAAAUAUGGAAAGACUUUUGAAGAUGUUGAAGGAAAGGUUAGAUUAGUUAAUCUCUCAACUAAUAAAUACAGUUCAACCAAUACAACCUCUAGUUUGCUAUAAUACAUGCUCAUAGAUAUAUCCAAGCUAUAUGAGAAUGAUUUAUACUAAUACCAUUGUAGAUUUCUACUGGGUAUACAGGUAUGCACAGAUAAAGGCAUACCUAGAAGGUUUAUACAAGGAGGAGAUCCAUUACUGAUCCAGAAUUAAGUCAAAAAAUCAAAGAACUUCAAUUGCAGUGUGUGGAGGUAACUUGGUUACACUAUUUAAUCAGUGUAAGAGUGCAAGAUUAGAAAAAGAGCAGCAUUUUAGGGAAGCACAGGAGGACAAUAAAUGGAUUAAUGAGUUUUCAGAUUAGCAGCCUUCUCAUUUGUACAUUUGCAUGUGAUGGUUGGGGGGAGGGGUGGUUACAGUUCCCUCUUCUCAAAAUAAUAUACACUUGUAUGAUAAAACUAUAAAUGUGUAUGCACACUUCUGAAUAAAGACUAUUACCUGUCAGGUCUGUAUGUUUUUGAUGAAGCUGACUGAUAAAGCCGGUGCCCCAUCACCAAACUGGCGAAAUUUGGAUGUCCCUUACCAUCUCGGUCGAAUCCAGGGAUGAAAACAUCCGCUUCAACACAAACCAUAUAAUCAAUUGCUUCCCAUAGUAAUUUAUGGGCAUUUGUUCUCAGCUCCAUCACUGUACUUUCAGGCUCAUUAUCGCUCUCAGCCACCCAGCCCCACCAGCCUUCAAUGUUGUAUGACUUGGGACGAGCCGGAGGGGGUGGAAGUGGGCGAGGUCGGGGACCAACAUUUUUCCAUGACUCAUGCUUCUCUUCUUCCUCAACGGAUAGUGGAGUCUUUGGAUCUAUAAGAUUAGCCUCACGGCCAUAAAUUCUAGUGAGCUCCCAAGCAGUGCUGAGGGAAGUCCUAUCAACAACAUUUGCAAACAUUGCAUGAAGAGGAAUUAGUGUCCUCUGGCCACCAAAAACUUCUCCACCAGAUACAUAUAUUAUCGUGUCCCACGAGUAUCCAUAUGCGCGAAGAAGAAUGCCAACCUGUAGAUAUCAGAAAAUUUUAACCAAUCAUUUUUAUGUAGUGGUAAACAGAAAGAUUUAUUGGGAGAGCCCUAAAAAAUCUCUAUGUAAGAUCUCUCCAAUGGGUAAAUCAGAUUGGAGAAAGAAAGAAAGCAUCAAAAUGAAUGACGACUUGGGCACAACAUAAGCAUUCAUUCUUUUGUGUGCAAUAAAGUACCAACCCAGAAGCAUAUGAAAUCCACUGUCCCAAAUAAUUUCUCACCUCUUCUGGCAUUAACGGACAUGUACCAUUCAGGCGUAGUUCCAUUGAAUUUACAGAUAGUUUCCCUCUGACCAUCCUACGUUUUAUCAUCCAAGCUCGUUUAUGCUGAAUGAGUUCAGUGUGGACAUCCUUAGGAAGAGCUCCAAAAUAGAAUAACAUGUCAAUGCCAGGUAAGCUUCAAUCACAAAGGCAUAUAUAAUUCAAAUAAUCCAGCAUGCCUUCAGGGUUUGAAAAGGUACCUGGAAGAGCUCAGCACAACCAUGAUAUGCUAAAGCAUCUCUAAUCAUCCCAGGAUCAAAGGCUAUAAAUGGCCUUCCAGGAGCUCGUAACCUAAAAUCAAUACCACUAUCACUCGCAUCUGAAAAGCUAAUAAUAAUUCUGUGUGAAUUGUAGCAAUGAGGGUAGACACUGACCUACGCAAAAUUCUAGUUGCAAGCUCCUGGACCUCUUGUCGGAACCGAAGGGCAUGGAAUGCAACCCUGCAUCUCAGCCUUUGGUAUUCUUCAAGAUGCGGUGGAAGACUGGCCUGACUCAGAUCCCAGAGAAAACAAUAGCUCGUUAAUACAUAAACUCAACCAUGAUUUGACAGAAUAAUGAAAGUGAAUAAGAAUAUUGAAGUCCCAGAGAUUGAGAGAAGAAAGAUUCCCCAUCAUUUUCACCAUGCAACACCAGAUACAAAUAUUCGUGCAUAGAACAGAUAAGAAACCACUAGGGAAAAGAUCUGCACAAGAAAAGUCAUGCGACUGGUGUUUUAUCUAAAAACAGAAAUCUUUAAAUUAACCAUGUAAAGUAGGAUCAAGUAAUCUUUGAUCCACAAAAAUCUCAAGAAUCAAUAAACUACACUUUCCUUUUCAUUUUCUUUGAAAUUGUUAUCUAACUUGAGAAAGAGAAUAUAUCAGUUAGCCUUGCAGAUGAAUUAGGCACAGAAUAGUAGAAAAGGUUCAAACUUGAGUCAUUAGCUCAAAGAAAAACAAUUCCUUUCAUUACCUGCAAGCAUCCACCAUCAGAAACAACUAGUUCAACAACUGAAUGCUUGAUCAAAACGGGAAGAACAUGAUGCAAAUAAAAAUACGGUGAAGCCGAGUAUGACACUCUAAACGAUGGAAUCUUCUUCUUUCUCCUUGCCCCUUUAAGAUUUUUUGGAAGCGUUUUUACAAUGUUAAUAUCUUUUGCUAACGCUGCCAUGAACUGUUCCUCAUUGUAGAGAUAUGCAAAACUCUUAAACUGAGAGCUGCAUUAAACAAGUGCUAAAUUAAUUGAAAAGAAAAGGCUAACAGUUAUAUAACUAUUACCAAAAAAAAAUUCAAAUUGCACCACUCAUAUUAAAGAAAUGCAACCUGAUUCCUUUACUACUUGUGGUUGACUGGAUCUCAGGAAUGACUAAAGUGGCAUUUAGAAGACGAGCAACCACAACAACAUCAGAUAUCUGAAACAUUUAGGAAAAAAGUUAUUACGUUGAUUAAAUUAGAUGUAUGGAUGCAACUGAAAAUAUGCAAUUGGGACAAUAUCCUUACAGAGUUCCUGAUCUCAUGGAAGCCGCCUUGUAUUCUCACAAAGAUAAACCCAUUUGCCCGAUAACUGGGAUCUGUUAGAGAUAUGCUUUCAUUAUGUGCUCAUUAAUGCUUAAACCAUGAGUACAAAAUAUAGAGAAUUGAAAAUGCAUCUGAAACUGAAAAUUUUCCCCUCUCAUAACACUCCCCUUUCUUCUAUCUUUCACUACAAGUAGAUUGAUAGAAGAUCGAAAACUAUAAUCAUCAACAUCAAAUUCGAGAAAGAUAGAAGUAUAUUAAUAGGGGAUACAGUAAUAAACUUGAGUAAAAGCACAAUAUCUAAAACCAUUUCGUAUUUUGCAGGACAAUUUAUCUUACAAUAAGCUAUUGACAAACUAAAAAACUAUAAUUUUCACGCUAAGCAUAUAUAAGAUCAACCACCUUUGAGCAGAAGUCUUUCAACAGCAUAAAAACUAUAAACAAGAUGCGAAAAAGAGCUAACCAGCAUAGUAUCCUCUGGGACUCGCAUCUGGAUGUAAAGAUUCAAGUCUCCUUACUGGACCCCAUAAUCUUCUAUACAAUGGACUCUGCUCAAUAGAUACAUAGAAAAAACAAUAAGGAGAAAGAAACAUAGAAAACCAAAAAUGGAUCCGAAAUAACAUCUAGAAACCAAAACAAAAAGGAGAAUCAGAUUUUUUCCUCUCAGUAACCGAACUGGAUCCAAAUAAAGCCCAAAACAUUCAACAAUCAAGCAACACAAUAGACACAUGUCCAUUCAUGUAGCAACAAAAGAAUCUGCCCGCAAUUGGCACUCAGUUAACAUAACCCAAAAAUCAGAGGAAAAUAAAACCUUUAACGCCGGUAGUGUAAAAAAAUUUCAACUUGACAUGAUAUAAUCACCAUGUAACCAAACAGACAAAAUCAUAGCAAAGCAAAAAUAGAGAGAAGAAUAAAACUGAGAUCUUUGUGAUUUAGAAGCAGCUAAAAUGGUACACAUUGCUUACAGUUUUAGAGAACUCAGCAUUUUCAAAAAUGGGUCGCCAAGAAAAGAUUGUGACUGAUGAUUGGUACUCUGAAACGCCAUCUUCAGUGAAUCUUGCGAGAAAAAUAUGAACUAAAAGAGAAAAAGUAGAUAGAAUUAGUCCAAUUAAGCCUACCCAUUUCAUUUUAGACUUAAACAUCAUCUUCCCUUCUCCUUUCAUUUCUCUUAUUCACUCAAUGAAAUCUCUCCAUGAACCAAAUUAAACAAAGCUUCAGUUGAAGCAGGAGAAAAAUGAACUUGAAAAGUCAAGGAAGUCAGUGAGCUUGAGACAAUGAAAUGUGCCACGUGUUUGAACUUGUUUUUGGAUAAUAACAUCUAGUUACCUCAUUUUCUUCAACAUUUCCAAGACAAGCAUAAUAUUUUUAUUUGCACUAAAUAGGUUGUUCAUAAAAAAAUGUAUAUGUUUAGUAUAAUUUAUUCAAUAAUUAUAAUUAGUUAUUUAAUUUCAUAAAUUUUUUAAUUUUUAAUUUUUUUAUAAAAAUUUUUGAGGAGUGUAAAAAUUAUUUUGUAUCUACAAAUAAAUUUUUAAAUUUUAGAUUUUUAGGAGUUAAUGUUGAAAUUUUUUUUAAAUUGUCAAAAUAUUUUUUAUUUAUUUGAUAAUUUUAUUUCAUUCAUUUCAUAAUAUGGCUUUAAAAGACUUAUCUAUUGAAAUAAUUUUAUUAUUUCUAAUAAAAUCUCUCAAACUAAUAUCUUGAUCAAAUAUAAGUAAAAUUUACUAUAAAAACAUAUUUCACAAAUGAGAUAUUUACUUUUAAAAAAUAGAAAAUGAUUUUCUCACCAAACAUCAAAAUAGGGAGGAUGUAUACUGUAUAAAAUGUUAUUUGGAUAAAAGUUUAGGACCUAUAUGAUAUAAAUGUAUAACAUAUGUAAUUACAUAAGAAUUGUAAAAGAGUAGGAAUCCAAAUGUUAUUACCCCGUCUUGAAAAUGCAAGCUAGACCAGACGGUGUUGAGUUGUAGCGAUCAGACAUGCUAUUGUUUUGAUAUCUAGUUUAACAGAAUGAAUUAAAAUUUCUCACUCACUAAGAUGGCGCGUGGAUUGUAAGAACCAAUAAAAUGGAAGAAAUUUGGAUUCUUCAAGUGGAGUGUCUUUUUUUUUAAAUAAAAAAUAAAAAAAUAAUGACUCCUUUUUUGUUCCAGUUGAUCAUGAAGUUAGGGCUUCUUGAUUGGGUAAAGUUGACAACACACAGCAAAUUGCUUAGAAUUUUUUUUAUCAUUAUUAUUUUCCUGGGGAUAUAUGUUAUCUUAUCCCCAAUCAUAAUCUCGAUUAUAGGUUUACAACCCAUAUUUCUUAUGCAAAAUAAUAUCAUAUUGAAACUAUUUCAAAUCUUAAUUUGGAACAUUGUUAUAUUGUGUUAUUCAUUGCCGUCGUGAUAUAUGUAAGCAUGAGGUACAACAAAUUUACUACCGAUUACAAAAGAAAUUUCAAACUUUCAUUCCUAGUGAGCACUCUCCUAACCAACGCUUCUUGAUCCUUCAACUCCCAAUGGCACCAUCGUCCUAAUGUGGAACCCCAAAAUGGCCCCCAAUUUUUAAUUUACGAAGUUCUAUAUGAACAAAAGUUAAACAAAUCAAAAUUGGGGCAAACCACUUAAAAAUAAGGAUGAUAAUAGACACCACCCCGCUAUAGGUUUAUCAUUAUUAAAUCCACACCGCAAAAAAUAUAAAUUACCAAACCCACCCACAACGGAUUUUUAUUUUUUAAAGAAUAAAAACUCAUCUACUAUGGGUUUGUACGGAUUUUCUCAUUUAAAAUCAUAAAUUUAAAAAAAUAUUUUUAAUAAUUCAUAAAAACUUAAAUUAUAUAAUCCAAAUUAUAAUUUUAUAACAAUGACCUAAAAAUUCUACAUACAAUAUUCAAUUUUAGAUUUUAUCAAUGUAAAUAAGAAAUUAAAAUUUCAACAUUGAAACAAAUACAUAAAAUAUUUCUAUUGUAAACAAAUCAUCAUCACUAAUAUCAAUGUCUUUCUCCACCUUUUAAUCAAUAUACGAGUAUUAUCAAUAAUAUUAAUAAGUAAAUUUUAUACAACUACCAUUAACAAUUAAUUAAACAAUAAAAACUCAAUUUUAUUUAGUAAUCAUUAGGUUCAAGUCAUUAGAGCAAAACAAAUAAAAUCAAUCAAAUUAAAAUAAAAUAUCAAUAAUCUUAAACUUUAAAAUUAUAAAACUUCUACUUAUUAAGAGUUUAUUAGAUAUGGUACAAUGAGAUAAGUUAGGUUUAAAAAUUAUAAACUUUAACUUAUUUAUUAGUAAUAUUUUGAAUGUAAUUUUAUGAUUGAAAAUAAAAAAAAAUAUAAAUAAUCAAAAUAAAAAUUUGGCCAUGCGGGUUGGCGAAUAGCUACACUUGUGUUCGGUAGAUUUUUUUUUUCUCAAUAUCAUACCCACCCCCAACCUACAAGGGGUAUAAGUUAAAAAUACUAAAUCUGCUGACAAUUCACAAAAUUACUCGCAGUGGGUGGGGUUUUACAGGCGGAUUUGAUCGAAGAAAUAAAUGCCGAUUGUUGCAAACUAGAUGGACCUCUGCUUUUAAGUAUAAACUACGUCUUUAAAUUACAAAGAGCAUCUCUUAAAUUUGAUCGAAAAAACAAUGGCUUUGAGUAUCGUCAAAUAAAGUGUUAUCCGACCUUCGAAAACCUUCAUAAGACAAAUUCAAGAAGAUCAUAAUAUUACAUUCUUGUCAAAUAUCAAUGUCACCGUAGCACUAUAUAUCACGUGAAGGAGGUCAUUUGUCGCAUAAAACCAUCAAACAAAGGACUAGCAACAGGUGCAACAUGAUCGGCCCUUUUAUCAUCUAAAAUUAUUGUCGUUUUUUAAUUCGAGAAGAAAUAUUGUCAUAUGGGUAGACAAGAAAAUGACUUAUUUUGUACCCACAUAUGAAAUUAAAUGUGGGAGAAAAAGUACUUUUAUAAAAAGGAAUUAAACGUAGCAUUAAAUCUGGAAGGAGAAAGAGACAAGCAGUUGAAAAUGGGCACUGUGUCAGAAUUCAGAAAGUACCUUUUUUAAAAAAAUAAAUAAAAUUGGAUGGGGUUGCUUGUUGUUAAUGAGAUUUUAUUUACCUGAUUUGAAAAUUAAAAUAGUAUGGAGCAGUUCAAAGAAAUUUCACUGCCGUUGCGCCAGAUUACUUGCUUGCAUGCAAAUAAAAAGAUCAACAAGAAAACAACAGAAGUUAAUGAUUAAAUGAUAAGUUAAAUUACAAGUAAUUCAAAAAAGUUUGAAAAUUUUCAGCUUUCUUACUCAUAAUUCUAUUGAAAAUUUCGGAAAGUUACCUUGGGAUAUAUGGAGGCUGUCUAAUGAAUAGUCUUAUUUUUUAUAAUAAAAAAAAUUUCUUUCAAAUUAAUAAUGAUAAUUUAACUCGAUCGAUAAGUCAAGUAGGUUAUUAUUAUUAUUUGUUUAAUUAGCAUGAAGAGUGAUUCUAAAGCUUAUUUGAACUGAAUAGAAUUUUUUUUUAUCAUAUAUGGAACAUAAUGCCUGCUAAUCCAAUGGGCAAUGUGGUUGGUUUUUUUUUUUUUUUUCAUACAGGACUCAAUAUUUUUAUUUUUUUUAAUAAUUAUAAGUGGAAGUAGGAUUCGUUCUUAUUUUUACACAUUUCUAAAUUAUAUUCAAUUGACCUAAAGCUUAUGUUAAAUUUACAUAAUUUUUUUUUGCUUCUGUUAAAGACAUUAAAUCUCAAGUAAAUUUACAUAAUUUUUAUUUGCCAUCAGAGAGUCUCAAUAAACUUACGUACUAAAUUAGGUAAUAUGAAGAUAUUUGUAAUGUAAUAUUAAAAUAUAACAAGUUUCACAAAUGUAUUGAUUUUUUUUAUUUGAUUAAAAGUCAUUAACAGAAACAUUUUGGGCCACUAUACAGCCCUUUCUAGCCCAAAAAACCCUUGUAACCCAAAGCAGUAUCCAUAACUUCAAUCUCCACAGCCCACAUGAUUUAACGGUCCAAAUUCCAUCUUUUGGGCUAUCAGUUACGUGAUCGCAACAGUCCAUAAAUUUCCAAUUUUUUUUUAAUUGUUUAUCCAUUUGCAAAUUCAUCAAGUAAUUAAUUUCCCCGCUAUAAAUCUUUCCCAAACUGACACCGCACCAAGUCCCGCCACGUGAAUAGGUGUCCCCACAGGAUGGGCCAUCAAGUACGUGGCUGAAUCUUCAUGCAAAUGGUGUCACUGCCGCCCAGUAUUUUAUUUGUAAAUUAUCCGUUUUGCCCCUCUCCGUUUCUACUGAAAAGGGGGUUUAGAAUUAUCUCCCAAAAGCGGGAGAGAGAGAGGAAAAAGAAGAAAGGAAAAUAAAUGAGAUCGAAUCACAGCCGUUGAUCAAAUUAGUCAGAGUGAAUCUCGACUCUACAUCUCAUCAACGGCGCUUACUCCCCGCUCGGCCCGCCUUCCGGUUCCUGAUCUCAUUAUUCUCCAGUGAGUUCUCUUAUUUCGCGCCUUUUCAGUGAUCCUGUUAACUUUACGUUUGUUUCCCGAUGGAAUUCGCAACAUUUAUCGCAUUUCAUAGUUUCAGUAUUUGAAAAACCGUUAUAACGGUUUUGAUCCUAUCUGAUAAUAUCAUUUGGAGCGUAAAUUUGUAAAAAUCGUGCUUUUAGGUGUGUUUGCUGACACAACAUGAUUUAUUUGAAGGUGAAAAUCAUGUUGAAUGCCGUUUUGGUCUGCAUUUUCGAUGGUACUAUGGAUAUAUUUAUAAAAAAACUGUUUUUUUUUUGUUUGAUUAAUUGUUUGAACUGGAUAAUCGGUUAUUAAUUAUCUUUUUAAUAUUUUUUAAGAGCCGGGAUAAUUCUUUUUUAAUGCCUGUCAGUUGCAAUUAAUUAAUAAAUCGUUUUAGUAAAAAAUAGGUCGCUUAUUACGGAAGUUGUUUUAUUUAGGAGAAAAAGGGAACUUGGUUCUCUAAUACGGGAAUCUAGCCGUUCACAAAAGACGGCUUUCAAGUUGUCAAGAUAAAGAUUGCCAUAAUGCCAUAUGCUUGCUGAUAUGAGUAUUUAUUUACUUGUUUGUCCACUUGUUUAUUUAACUUCCAACGUUCCAUGUGAAUCCUUGUAUUUUCGCUCACCAAAAGAGCAGCAGAUUUUUGGAGGGUAAGUGUUGUUUGAUCAACAGAAGCUUUUCUUGUCGCCCAUUUCAAGUUAAUGGGGGCACAAAAUGUUUUUUUUGCCCUUCCUUUUUAAUUGGGUGUCUGGCGAUUCUUUUACCCAUCAAUUAGCCGGCAUUUUCAGGUUGCUCCUCCGAUGUAGCUGAAUCGCUUAGUUUCUACACAAGAGAAAUCUGUUUCAAUGUGACAAUCAUGGAAGCAGAUUGAAAUUUACUAUUAUGACUGUUUACAGCACAAACAUUGCCCUCCAAUCAUUGCCAGCAUUUGAGUUUGGCGUCUGCUUGGGAGAAAAGCUCUCUGCUGUCGCUUUCUCUGCUGCUGGCUUUGAACUUUACAGUUUCUCCUUUUCCUUUCAUGUCUCAUAAUUGGGACUGUCCUGUAAAUACCCAGAUGGCUGUUGCAGCGUUUAGAGGAGGUAUUAAUGGGGAGCAUGGUGGGAGUAAGAGAAUGGAAAGCCAACACUCUGGAAAGAGGCGUGUGUUUGUUCAAACUGAGAUGGGCUAUGUUUUGGGCAUGGAGUUAGAUAGGAGUGACAAUGCCCACACGGUGAAAAGGAAAUUACAACUUGCCCUUGAUGUGCCAACUGAGGAGAGGUCACUGAUUUAUGGGGAUACAGUGCUAAAGAAUGAUCUCAGUUAUGUUAGACAUGAUUCUCCACUUCUUCUUACCCGGAACUGUAUGCACAGAAGUUCUUCUACCCCAUGCCUCUCACCCACUGGAAAGGAUCUUCAGGAAAGAGAUCUCAGUGGUCCAAUUGAGAUAUUGGGAUACUCAAAUCACUUUUCCACAGCAAAACAGCUGGUCAAGGAAAUUGUUAAGGCAAUGAAGAAGGGGAUUGAUCCAAUUCCUGUCCAUAGUGGGCUUGGAGGUGCAUACUAUUUCAGAAAUUGUGCGGGUGAAAAUGUUGCUAUUGUGAAGCCAACAGAUGAGGAGCCUUACGCCCCAAACAAUCCAAAAGGUUUUGUUGGCAGUGCUCUUGGGCAGCCAGGCCUCAAACGUUCAGUUCGGGUUGGGGAGACAGGAUUCAGAGAAGUAGCAGCUUACCUGCUUGACUAUGAUCACUUUGCCAAUGUGCCCUGCACUGCCCUUGUGAAGGUCACACACGAGAUCUUCAACAUCAAUAAUGGAGUGAAUGGAAAUAAGAUCCGCAAGAGAAGGCAGGUCAGCAAGAUUGCAUCAUUGCAGCAGUUCAUCCCUCAUGAUUUUGACGCAAGUGACCAUGGGACUUCAAGCUUUCCAGUUGCUGCUGUGCACAGUAUUGGGAUCCUAGAUAUUCGGAUUUUGAAUACAGAUAGACAUGCCGGAAAUCUCUUGGUCAAGAAGUUUGAAGGAACCGGGAGCUUUGGUCAAGUGGAGCUUGUACCCAUCGAUCAUGGACUUUGCCUUCCUGAAAACUUGGAGGACCCAUACUUUGAGUGGAUUCAUUGGCCACAGGCGUCAAUUCCUUUUUCAGAGGAUGAGCUUGAAUAUAUUAAUCAGCUUGACCCAUUUGGGGAUUCUGGAAUGCUUAGAUUGGAACUGCCCAUGAUCCGAGAGGCGUGCCUCAGGGUUUUGGUUAUUUGCACCAUUUUCCUCAAGGAGGCAGCAGCUUUUGGUUUAUGCCUUGCAGAUAUAGGUGAGAUGAUGAGCAGGGAAUUUCAAGGCCAUGCAGAGGAGCCAAGUGAGCUUGAGUUUAUUUGUAUUGAGGCUAGGAGAUUAUUAGAGGAGAGUAAACCGCUCUUUGAUCAUGGAAAAACAGGAGAUAAUGAAGAAUUUCAGUUUGAGAUUGACUGUGAGGAACGGGAGUUUGAUUUGACUUUGAAUAUGGAAGAGAAAUUAUCAUCAAAAUGUUUAUCUUCCGGGUCAAAAGGUGUAAAUGGUCAGAAUUCACUUUACAGGCUGGAGGAGAGUGUGGAGGAGGAGGGAGAGAAUGAAGGGAAUGUGACUCCUUUAUGUUUAGAGGAUUCUGCUCCCCCUGUGUGGCACAUGGGUCCAUCUUUUUCAAAGCUGUCCGUGUCUUUAAAAAACAUCACUAUCGGUGAAAAGAGUUGGCGACAUGAGGGAACAAUGCAGAAAAAUGGCUAUUUGGCUGGUACGUCAUCUGGAAACAUGAGUGUGCAUGAGCACCUACCAGCAAGCACUAGUUUUGUGAAGCUGGCUGAUAUGAACGAAGAGGAGUGGGCUCAAUACCUUGAGAAAUUCCAGAAGUUGCUCUACCCAGCUUUUACUAAUCAUAAAUCAGUGAGUGUAGGUCAGAGGCAGAAACAGAGGCUUGGAGCUUCAUGCCAGUUUUAAGGAGUUAAUAUUACAGGUUAUAGGAAUCGGAACACUGAAAUUUUAUGUAGGGUCAUGAAAGCCCCAGAAAUGUAGGUGGCCCUAUUCUAUGUAGCGGCUUAGUUGGUGAUUUGGAGUUGCACUUGGAUAAAUGGCUACAUUCAGAUGAUUAUAGCUCCUACUUGUUGGCUGCUGAUGGAUGCACCGUGUUUUUAUUUCCCUAUGUUGCUUUCUUCCAUUUCGCGAUUUUCUGUUUUUCUAAUAACUUUGGCUUGGAUUUCUCUGAUACCCUAGUCCAGUUGUGUUAACUUCAAUAGAAAUGAGAGUGAGGGAAAUAAACUAUGUGUACAAUAAUGUUAUCUGCUUCAAAAUGCAAACAGUCCUGGCUUGUAUAAGUUUCUUUUGCAAAAAGAUUUUAGUUGUCUUCCAUACUAAAGUUUCAUUGGCUUUCUAAUUAUGUAUAUGUUUGCUUCUAUUUGCAUAUGUUCUUUAAUCGUUAUUAAGCUUCUUGGCAAUGGCCUAUUGCGUUACUACCAACUCUGUUAUGUUGUUUCUACAAUGGAUUGACAGAAGGAGAUUGAAAAAUGCCUGAGGCUCUUUUGUAUCAUUUGACAUAGAUUUGAAUAAAAUUUUCUCCAUUAAGUAUGUACGUAUGUUCUGCAGUUUCUGCUUUGCUUCAGACAUAUUCGCCUGGAGGAGAGAGAAAUGGUUGAAACUUACUUCCUAAACCAAAUUAGAUUUGAAACCUUGAAGCAGAUUAUGAGAAAAGAAACAUUGGGGUGAUUCAGCACUCCUCGUGCCUCUCUUUCACUUCAGCCAACUUACUAAGCUCAACCUGUUGGUCUUCUAUCCGGCUUACUGCUCGUGAAAAUUCUCCAUCGGCAAAAGACAUAGUGUCUUGUUUAGCAAGGUGUCUCUGUUUUAUCUUCAGCAAGGCCUGUGUAACUUCUCCUAUUGAAGGUCGCUUUCUUGGUGUUUUGUGCAAGCAUUUGUGACCAAUUCUAGCCAGCUCUCUUACUUCUUGAAUAUUGCAUGCUCCAACUAGUUGCUUAUCAAGUAUUUCAUCCACUCCAUCUUGACUCAUAGAUGCCUUCAAAAGAAAAGGACAAAAUGCAACUAUCAUAAUAGGUUCAGGUUGAUAUGAUUAAUUUAGAGGUACUAGAGGACAAAGAUUCUAUAACAGAAAAUAGAAGACUUACAAGAUUCACGUAUUCCAUCAAGUUUUGGUGUGGGUGGAUGGCUGUUAUGAGCUCAAAGAUGAUAACGCCAAAACUGAAGAUAUCACUCUUCAUUGUGAACUUGUUUGUUGAAAUGUAAGCAGGGUCUAUGUAUCCAUAGGUACCUUUGAGGCCAGAGUUCCGACCAUCAAAGACCUCUUCUUUUGACAGCCCGAAAUCAGCAACCUAUUAUACAGCAAUCGUAAAGGUCAAUAAGCCAAGGGAAUUUAGAUGCCUAAAACUGACGCAUGAAACAACCAUAAACCCCACUUUCUUCCUUUCAAGGUGUUGACUAAACUGAAAAAGGAAAUUACUAAAAUACUAUGUUAUCUGCAUUUUCAAUCCGAUCUUCUGAUAAUUUCCAAUUAAUGUCUAACAAUGGAAGAAGAUGCAUGCUUUCGAGUGCUAGCUCACCUUAGCUCUCAUGAAGUGGUCCAGUAGUAUAUUAGCAGACUUUAAAUCGCGAUGAAUAACAGGUGGCACCGCCUGUUCAGACAAUUAUCACAUGAAGGGCUUAGAAUAGAUGAGUCAUUUAUUUCGCCAAGAAAACAUGACAUUAUAUCAUUACAAAUACCCCUUCAUGAAGAUACUCAAUUCCAUGUGAUAUAUCAAGAGCUAUUUGAAGCCUUUCUUCCCAAUUCAAAACCCGUUCUUCACCUGAAUGCAUGAACAGCAGGAUGUUUUCAACAGAAGUUUCAGCAAAUGAUAAGCUACAGUUCAACAUAAUUCUGCCAUUCAAUGGCUUUUGUGUGGGAAUAUUUUUCGUAUUAAGUAUUCCAAUAUGCAGUUAUCACAAGGAAAGAAAUUCUCAUAAAACAUAAAAUGUAGGCCUUUAAGCUUACUGUAUAUAAGGUUUGACAAGCUCCCAUUACUCAUAAACUCGUAAAUCAGCAUGUAUUUUCCUUUAUCUACACAAUAUCCUAUCAAAUUCACAAGAUUCCUAUGAUGCAAUCGUCCCAGCAGACUUACCUGCAAAAACACCAAGCAAUAUAAUGGAAGACCAGGGGUGGUUCAAGCAUAAAUACAGAAGAAUCUUGAAACUAAUUUAGAAACCUGAAGAAAAAUGGAUAUAACUCGCGACAAUUGGAACUUCUCCAUAAUAAAAUGAACACUCUAUGUAAUAAUGUAAGAGAAAUAGGAACACAAAAUUGUUGGUCAGGCAAUGUCUAGAGAUUUUUUGCUUUAUCCAUUUUCUCCUAAAUGAAAACUAACAGGGAUUAUCCUUAAAACAAUUCCGAACAGAAUAAAUUCAAAAUAUUCUUCGCCAACUAAAUAAAUUCAACUGUUCUUGGGGCAUAAGAAUAAAACAUUCUAUCUGCAAAUCAAUAAUUUGUGAUGCAUGGUUCUCUCAGGCAAUGGGCUGGUGAAAAAUCAUAGAUUUGAAAAAAAAAUUUCUCAUCAAAGGAACUGUAUAACUCUUGAAAAUACAAACACAACAAGGCCAGUUGCUAAACCCUCAAAAUGUCUGUUCAAAAUAAAGAGGCUGCCAUGAUCCAUUAUAUGUUCUUAAUGAGCCCUUACCUCUGUUUGAAACUCUUUUUCUCCUUGAUGUGAAUCAGAGGCCAGCACCUUUAUAGCUGCUACUCCUCCAGAAGGCAUUGUAGCUUUAUAUACCGGACCAAAAGCCCCUUGUCCCAGUAUGUUAGUGAAGUUUUGGGUAGCUUUCUGAAUAUCCCUGAAAAGCAAAGUGAUGAUAUACCGCAUUAUAUUGAAUUCAAUACUUUCUGUGUUACACCAAAAACUUCAGAAGUUCUAUAUCUAGUAACCAUUCAGCCCUGUACAAAUCAGAGGGGAGCUGCACUACAGCUUAUUUCUAGGUCUACUCUAUAUAGGUUGAGUUACUCCUUCAGACUAAGAAAUUGUCUAACAUGACAUAACUUUGGUAUACCAUUAAAGAAUAUCAAGCUUGUCUAUAAUUUGGGAAUCUACUCACUUGUAAGCAUAUCUAGGUAUGCCUGAAGCAGAAGGAGCAGAAGUGAACCGAUCUUUACUGUGAUUACUCCACCAAGAAACCUGAGAUUUUUUCUGAGGGAACCCUGACGCCUUAACAGCCACAGAAUUUGCAACAGGCGCACUAAAAUCAAUGCUUGUACCCAAACCAUUUAUGCGUAUAGGAUGCGUAGCAACACUACGUUCAUUAGAGCACCGCCGGAGAUGAUCAUGCUUCUUGUACCACCUUAGGCCGAAAAAUACAAGUGUAGCUAUCAAGAUACCAAGGGCCAAACCAACACAGAUGCCAAUAAUAACUAAAUCGCUUUUAUGAACCAUUCUUUGGUCUCUUAUAACAUUCAGGCAAUGAAAACAUCUUGCAGGAGAACAGCACGCCAAGCCCGUCGCCCAACAAGGAACCGAAUUUCACACAAGUCGGAACACCUUUUCAUGGAAGAAUCAAAGAACACAGCAAGUCAAAAUAUGAAGCAUAAAUAACACUGCGAACAUAUAACAUGAUCUUCAGUGGGAAAAUAAACCUCUUUGAAUCACUUGCCAAUAUGUUUCUCAGCUCAGAAUGCCUUAAUUCUUCUUAUGCUACUAAUACACUCUUAGAUGCCAAAUUAUUCAUUUACAGAUCACAUGAUCUCCAGGCUGAAGCAUUAUUGAACAUCCACAUUUAAAAAUAUUAUCCAGAUUUUCAAAUAGCAGAAAGCCCAAGUUUCAAACUUUUAACAUCAAACACUUUCGUUAAAGCUCCAAUAGUAGCCACGCCCAUUAAAAGAACAGAAUUGAGGACGCAAACACAUCUAAAACACAGCCAAAGAAAAAAAAAAUCAAAUGAAUCAUUACGAAGAACUACAUACCUUAUCAGCCGAAAGCAAAAACAAAACCCACAAGACUGAUUAUAUGAUCAGUCAACUUCUGUGCGCCAACCCAGAAGCUAUAUUAACUUGAACUGUUGAUUCGCAAUGACCCCAGUUCAAGAAAAGAAGUUUAGAAACUGUAAAGAUAUUAAAAAAAGAAAAAGAAUAAAGACAGAAAGAGUCUGAGUUGGAGGCUCGCUCGGACGAGUAAAAGGCAAAAUAAAUAAAGAAACGCGGUUGGUUGGUCUUAGUGUCCUAAUUUUUUCUAUGAAGGGCACAGCCGGUGAAUUUCGGUCAUUUGGAUUUUAGUAAAGAGUAAAACUUAGACGCAUCCGCCACUCCUAUUUUUUUUGUUUUUUUUUCCCUUAAUAUUUUUAAGUAAUGAUACUUUGAUAUGAUCGUAUCCAUAAUUUUUGUAUAAUUAAAUUAAUUACCCAGGCUUUCACCUAUGCUAUGUGACCUUUUGUAGGAUCAAGAAGUUUUACUUAUGAAGCCUGCUGGCUCUCAAUCUCAUGCUCCAAACCUCUAUUGAAAUGACUAAAGUUAAUUGUUCGGAAGUUGAUUUGGUCGACAAAAGAUUUGACUUCGGAAAGAUUAUUUAAAAAGUCCUUUUGAUAUGGGGCAUUUUUAUCUCAGUUAUAUAUUAAACCAUUGAAUACAUAAAACACAAAAUUCAACAACUGCGUACAAUAAUGGCAUCCUUUAUGUAUCAUUCUUCUUUUCAUUUUUUGUUGGUUGAGAAAUUUCAAAAAAAAAAUGUUAGACUUACUUCACAUUUCAUAAAAGUAAUAUUUUGAUAAAUUAGUAGAGGAUUUGGUAGCUCUUUGCCGGCUGAACCCUUGAAUAAUAAUUCUAUAAGAUCUCAACAAAAUACAAUAUUAUAAGAAAGGGAAUAUAUAGGUAUGAGUUAUUUUUCAUUUUGCAAACUUCAUGAGGAUGAGGAUUUUGUUUAUUAAUUAAAAUGAGAUAGAACAAAGUUUGGGCAGACAUAAUUAGCUUGCUAACUAGAUAAUAAUUCAUUCAUAAAAAUAACCAAAAUGGAAAACAACGCCCAAAACAAAUAUAAAAAAGGCACAACAAGAGAUAAAACAAAUAUUUGAUCUUGAUGAACUGCAACACUCGAAAACUCCUCCACAAGCAUCAUGCAUACAUGAACAAGAACAAAGCACACACAAACAAUUGCAGUUGCAUCAAAAUAUGUAAUAGUUUAGAAUUAUUUUUUCUUCACUUGUACACAAAAGAAGAUCUAUAAUUAACUCUAGGCUAUAAUUCAUAAGAGUAACACCACACUUGAAUAUUGUUAAUUAACACCAAUUAAUCGAUCAUUGUCACAUGUUAUCUAACAUCAUGCAUCAAUAUCUCAUUAAUAUUGUGAACGUUAAUUCUAUAUAGCACCAACUAAUUAGUGAUUCAUUGAAUAUCAUCAUCUUGAGAUAUAAUGGGAUAAAGGUUAACAUGGAUGCUACAACUAAACUAGAAGAUCAUAUUACAGGUUUGGGUUUAGUAAUUAGAGACUCAUUUGGAAAGUUCGUAGCCGCUACUAUGCAACAAUCCAAGUUUUACGGAGAUGUUAUGUACGCCGAAGCUGAAGCUGCUAGAUUGAGGAUGGAAAUUGCAGAGCAAGUGGAUUGCCUUCCUUUGAUACUUGAAACAGAUGCCCAAGAGAAGGGUAGUAGAACUGAAUUUUUUUCGAUAAUCUCUAAAAUUCAAGACAAGCUAAAACGUUUAAAGAUAAUCAAGUUCCGACAUGUUGUAAGAAAUUGUAAUGGUUUUGCUCAUUCUUUAGCAAAGUUAGCUCUUGAAAAUGUGGAACCUAUUUACUGGAUGAGCAAUGUCCUAAAACAAUUUUUGUACCUAUUUAAUGAGUUCUCUCAACGAAAGGUUUACUUUCGUUUCAAUAUAUAUAUAUAUACACACACACACACAAUAAGUGAAAUAGUUCCAAUGACUAAUGAAUGAAUGAACAAUGCAGUCACAGAAUCAGACUAAUUAGUACCUAUAAAUAUUAGGAAAAUUAUCAAUCAUAUACCUUUGGUUUACUUCAUUAUCAAAUUUAUUACAAUAUUUUUAGGGUAUAUCAGUCGUUCACUCUAAGUUGACAAAAUGUAUUUAUCAUCCACCAAGCCGUUAGUUGCUGUUUAAAUAUGAUAAUAUCAGAUGAGUAAUAUUAUUUUUUUAUAUAAUAUAAGUGAUAAGGAUAUAUAAGUGAUAAUAAAAGAUUUUAAGGGUAUACAAGUGAUAAUUUUUAAGGGUAAAAUCAUCAAUUCACUAUAGUUCCGUUAACUUUCAAACAACAGUUAACAUUUUAGUAGUCAGUAGAUAAUUUUUAUCAAUUUAAAAUAAAUAAUUGAUACAUUCAUAAAAUUUUAUAAUAUUUUUAAUAAAAACACAAAUUUGAUGUACACGAAUGAAUGAUAAAUAUUAGGGUUCCUCUAUGAUGCUGUAAUUUUUUUACAGCAUUAAUAAUAUUUUUAAUUGUGCACCAUUGGAUUUAAUCAAUGGUACACAAUAUUUGUAGGCAAAAAUAAUAAAAAAAUAAUGGUAAACGGUUAACAAACGUGUUAGGGUGGAGAAGUUUGUAAAAUAACUAUUACCACCCUUAGAGUUUGAAAUAAUUUCACUUAAAUAGCAUAUUUUAUUUAAAAUUAUUUUUCAAUCCCCCUUUAAAUUUGAAAUGUGAUAAUCUUUUUUAAAUAAAUCUUCCAAAAUCUAUUUCCAUUAAGUAUAAAAUAUAAUGGUAGGUUAUUUAACACAAAUCAAAUAAAUAUGUUGCAAUUACAAAAUUUAUACAUGAUAUAACACUAAUAAAUAACACAACUAAGUACAUAUACUUAAGUAAAUGUUAUAGUUACAUCAAUAAACUCAUUGUUGAGAUUGCUUGCAACAUAAAAAUUACUUGAUCACACAUGUUUUAAUAAAAUUUAAUAUCGUAUAUUAAAAUACUCAUUAUUUUAUAUAAUACUAAGGGUCAUUAUAUAAUUGAUCAUGAAGUAUGUAUUAUUUUUAAUACCCNNNNNNNNNNNNNNNNNNNNNNNNNNNNNNNNNNNNNNNNNNNNNNNNNNNNNNNNNNNNNNNNNNNNNNNNNNNNNNNNNNNNNNNNNNNNNNNNNNNNNNNNNNNNNNNNNNNNNNNNNNNNNNNNNNNNNNNNNNNNNNNNNNNNNNNNNNNNNNNNNNNNNNNNNNNNNNNNNNNNNNNNNNNNNNNNNNNNNNNNNNNNNNNNNNNNNNNNNNNNNNNNNNNNNNNNNNNNNNNNNNNNNNNNNNNNNNNNNNNNNNNNNNNNNNNNNNNNNNNNNNNNNNNNNNNNNNNNNNNNNNNNNNNNNNNNNNNNNNNNNNNNNNNNNNNNNNNNNNNNNNNNNNNNNNNNNNNNNNNNNNNNNNNNNNNNNNNNNNNNNNNNNNNNNNNNNNNNAAUAAAUAAAAUAUUGCCUUCAAUAAUAUUUACGUGGGAACAAAAGUGAAAGAAAAUCAUUUAUAUUUUUAGAUUUUUUAUUGACAUGGUAGAAAAUUAUCCGAGCCUUAUAAAAUUUAACUUUCACAAGCUUGUUUUCAUUUUAUUUUCAAAUGUCACUUUGUUAAUUUCAUAAAAGUUAAAUCUAACACAUAUUCCUAAUUAACUUUAGUUUAUGAAUCAUGAAAGAUUAUUUUAUUGUUAUUCUUUGAUAGUAAUUAUAAAAUUUUUAUGCUACGAAGUGUCAUUACUUUUAUUAUGAUAAUUAAUAGUGACAAUAAAUAAAAUAUUGCCUCCAAUAAUAUUUAAGUGGGAAAAAAAAGUGAGAAAAUCAUUUAUAUUUUUAGAUUUUUAUUGACAUGGUAGGAAAUUAUCUCAGCCUUAUAAAAUUUAACUUUCACAAGCUUGUUUUUAUUUUAUUUUCAAAUGUCACUUUGUUAAUUUCAUAAAAGUUAAAUCUAACACAUAUUCCUAAUUAACUUUAGUUUAUGAAUCAUGAAAGAUUAUUUUAUUGUUAUUCUUUGAUAGUAAUUAUAAAAUUUAUAUGCUACGAAGAGUCAUUACUUUUAUUAUGAUAAUUAAUAGUGACAAUAAAUAAAUAUUACAUCAAAUAAUAUUUAAUGGACAAAAUGAGGAAAACAAUCAUUGUAUGUUUUUAUAUUUCCAUUAUAAAGAUAUGGUUUGUGAUCCUUUAACUUAAAAUUUUGGUACAAUAUUUGAGCCACUAAUAUCUCAAGUCUAAUGGUUGAUAUUGAAAGUCAAAGCGCCAUUUCAUAAUGUUAUAUCCUCCACCAUUGAAUUGCAUGAAAUAAAAUAGUUUAAUUUUUUGAUUAAAAUUUAAAUCAAAAUAUUUCUCACUCUAUAGUUAUAUAGACAUAUAUAUUUUUCAAUAAUAAUUGGUGAAUAAAAUAUUUCUCAUUUGUGGUGACUCAUAUAGUAUUAUUAAGAAAUUGUAAUGGUUUUGCUCAUUCUUUAGCAAAGUUAGCUCUUGAAAAUGUGGAACCUAUUUACUGGAUGGGCAAUGUCCUAAAACAAUUUUUGUACCUAUUUAAUGAGUUCUCUCAACGAAAUGUUUACUUUCGUUUCAAUAUAUAUAUAUAUAUAUACACACACACACAAUAAGUGAAAUAGUUCCAAUGACUAAUGAAUGAAUGAACAAUGCAGUCACAGAAUCAGACUAAUUAGUACCUAUAAAUAUUAGGAAAAUUAUCAAUCAUAUACCUUUGGUUUACUUCAUUAUCAAAUUUACUACAAUAUUUUUAGGGUAUAUCAGUCGUUCACUCUAAGUUGACAAAAUGUAUUUAUCAUCCACCAAGCCGUUAGUUGCUGUUUAAAUAUGAUAAUAUCAGAUGAGUAAUAUUAUUUUUUUAUAUAAUAUAAGUGAUAAUUUAAGGAUAUAUAAGUGAUAAUAAAAGAUUUUAAGGGUAUACAAGUGAUAAUUUUUAAGGGUAAAAUCAUCAAUUCACUAUAGUUCCGUUAACUUUCAAACAGCAGUUAACAUUUUAGUAGUCAGUAGAUAAUUUUUAUCAAUUUAAAAUAAAUAAUUGAUACAUUCAUAAAAUUUUAUAAUAUUUUUAAUAAAAACACAAAUUUGAUGUACACGAAUGAAUGAUAAAUAUUAAGAGGGCUUAUCGCAUUCAAUAUAAGCUAUUUCAACAAGAAGUCGGUUUACUAAGGCUGUGCCAACUGCCGAGUGCCAAGGAGUUGAAAAAUUUAUUCGAACGAACCACGUCGUUACAACUUACAAGCUCUGUACUCUUGCUCUGCAAAAGAAAAGAAAAUUACGGUUUAGGGGUUUUGUAAGAAAUAUCAAACAACGAAAAAAAAUGGCUGCUUCAGCUAAAUUCUCUCUCACACCCUCCUUCAAAAUCCCAGAAUCCUAUCCCCCUAAAACCCUAGUAUCCAAUUUCCUAACGAUCCCUUCAAAAUCUUACCUCAAAUUCAACCCCUAUUUCAAACCCAGCUCUCUCUCUCACCUCACCACCAUACCCAAACCCAAAUUCAAAUCUGGAACCCAGUUUCACAACCGGAUGAUCCGCUGCCUUUUCACCGGGAUCGUCGAAGAAAUGGGGGAAAUCGAGCAGCUGGGUGCUUCCAACGACGGCGGAUUCGUCAUGAAAAUACGUGCGAAAACUGUUCUUGAAGGCGUCCACUUAGGCGACAGCAUUGCUGUUAAUGGAACGUGUCUCACUGUUACGGAAUUUGGUACCCAAUUGGAAGAUUUUACCGUUGGAUUAUCGCCUGAGACUUUGAGAAAGACUUCUUUGAUUGAAUUGCAACCGGGUUCGUUGGUGAAUUUGGAGAGGGCAGUACAGCCGACGAGUCGUAUGGGCGGGCAUUUUGUGCAGGGGCAUGUGGAUGGCACGGGGGUGAUUGUGUCAAUGGAGCCUGAAGAGGAUUCUUUGUGGAUUAAAGUGAAAACAGAUAAAAGUUUAUUGAAGUAUAUAGUCCCUAAAGGGUUUAUAGCCAUCGAUGGUACUAGUUUAACGGUGGUGGAUGUGUUUGAUGAGGAGGAGUGUUUUAACUUCAUGCUUGUGGCGUAUACGCAGCAGAAAGUUGUUAUUCCUUUGAAGAAAGUGGGGCAAAAAGUGAACCUGGAGGUUGAUAUAUUAGGCAAGUAUGUGGAGAGGCUGCUCAGUAGUGGGUUUGUGGACUCUUUCAAAGCUUCUUUGUGAUGGUUCAAGGUACUCAAAUGUGGUUUUUAAGACAUUGCAGGUUUUUUCUUUAAACAUUUUUCUCGUUUUGCUUAAGUUCUGGUGGCAGAGUGGUGAUCUGCGGGAAAGCUGCUGCUGAUGUUAUUUGCUACUGCAAUGGUGGCUUUGAAUGUUAAUUUUGGGCUUAGCAAAUUUCAGAUUAUUGUGCUAAACUGAAAAUAAUGUGGCAGAACUGUAAUACUACUAUUUGGAACAUUCUUAUCAUAGACCUUAAGUAGUUAGGUUCAGAUAUUGUUGAGUUGGCGUUGAUACAAGGGUUUAUUUAGUUGAUUAGGAAUGUACUUUGACUUGCCUAACAAAUCUGAUAGAGCAAAGAUAUUGUUAUAAAUUAACUUUUAUCUACUUGCAAUUAAUUGUAUGUUGUUUGUAUGUUUCUCCGAAAUAUUCUUUAGUUAAUGCAUUUUAGAAGUGGCUGCAAUGGAUUGAAAAUCUUCUGUUUUGUAUAUGAAUUCUGAUGUGUUAUGUCAACCGUUGAUUAAUUUCAAAAGUACGGCAUUAUCAUAGAUCUCAGCUUUUAGUCUCGAACCAUUAAUUUAGUUUGGGAUAGCGGCCCCGUGGAGAUGAAGCAUUUUUCUUUCUAUUGAGGCAAGCAGAUGCUGAGAUUUUAAGUUAAAUAAAAAUCAAAAUAAGUGUUUUUAAUGUCUUAGGUGGAGUGAGGUGAGGUUUUUUGUUUGAUCACUAGAUGGUUUCCUUAAUGAAGCCUAGCUUUCAAUUAUGACAGCUUAUUGUUCUUUUUGUAGUAUAAUUAAUUCACCUGUCAUUCUUGUUUCUGUUCUGCAUUCUGAUAGCUAUUGGUGGAACUAGGGACUGCAAAACCAUCAAUAAGGCAGUGGCAGUUGUUUUUGUAUUAGCACAUUUUCAUUUUUUUCUGUCAUUUGAAGGAAGGAGCGCGCUACAAGAUUGGUAAAAUUCUCAUAAAUGGCAUCUCUUGUAGCUACCUGGCGCAGCGUGGAUGCAUGUCAUAUUGUGAGUGACCUUUUGCAUGGAGAUUAAACUCUAGAUAUUGGACUCUUUUUCUUCGUACCCUGGACAUGACAAGGUAGAUGGUAGAGUGUAUUCGUCUUCCUUCCUGAUGACCAUAUGAUUUCAUGCCCUUGUGAUGAAAACUAAGGAUUACAUUACGGCAAUUUAAGCUCACUGAUGUCUGACAGAGACUGCAAUUGUAAUAUUAGUUGCUGUACUGUAUAGCUUUGACAUGAACGGAAGUUUAGAACCGAACUUAAAAUUUGUAGUUAAACCCUGCAAUCCACUAGAGCACUGGAGCUGUAGUUGAGGAUUGUAUUUAUGCAAUGGAUCCAUCCCUUCCGUGUUGUUACUGCUUUUCCAUUUAGGUUUUAUGCAUUCGAAUCAAGAUUAUUGCUUUGUCCUUGUUAAGAAAUUUUAAUUUUACACUUGAUUGUAACUUUGGGUCUGGUUUGUGCUUAAGUAGUCAAUGAUUGUUGAGAGAUUAUGCAUUUUUUUUUUCAAUAUCUAGUGAGAUAACUGUUGGUGACUUGGUCACAGAAGUGCGCCUAUAAUUUGACAGAAGUGCGCUUGUAAUUUGAUAAAAUCUGAAUUUGUCACGAACUAUUUUCAAUUUUGCUUCUCAAGAUAAUAAGAAGAAGAAUUAAAGAUAUUUUGAGCAUACAUAUCCUAUCCCGUGGCAAAUAAAUCUUUGGAAUGUAGCAUCAGUACAUGCAAGAAACAUAGAAUCAGAACUGAAUGCGGACAUGUGUAUUCAGGAUUUAAUAAGCCUCACCUACUCCAUGCCUGAGUUAAGAUGAGAUCAUCUUUAGUUUGGUUUAAGCCUGUAACUAAGGGUAGGUAAAUUCGGGUUUUGAUUGAGUUUGAAUCAAUUGGAUUGGAUAUUGGGUUGAUCGAGUUGGGAAAAAGGUCAUUGGAACUCAACCCAAACAUGUAAUUCGAUCCAAUCAGGUUAGGAAUAAGACAUCAAUAAACUUUGUUUCUUCUUCUUACGGACUUUCUCAACUCUUCUUUUGUUUCUUGUUCUCAUCUAGAAAUUGCAUUCAAUUUCAUAAACUUUGGUGAUUGCAAUUGCACCGUGAUUUGACACAUCAAUAUAUCUAACAAUAAACCCCUUUAUAAUUAUUUAAUAUAAUAUAGCAAUAUACCAUGGAAAAUUCGGGUUAGAGGAACUUGGUAAUGAUGGCUGUCGGUCGGGGUGGAGCAACUUGCAGAAGCAGUCGCGAUGGCCGGUGAAGCAAGUGGCAACAAAUCGUGUCGGCACGUCGCAUACUCGUGGUGGCUUGGCUUCACGCGAUUGCAUUUGUGAGUUGGCAAUACUACCGAGUACCAACUGCGGUGCUUUUCGGAUUGGAUUAGAUUGGGUAAAAUAGCAGGUUAUGUUAUCUAAUCCGAUCCAAAUCUAAAUUUUUUUGAAUCAAUUCGGCUUGGAUUGAAUUGAAUUGGAUUAUUUGCAUAUCUCUAUCUGUAAUUUGUCGAACUUAUAAAUUUUUUGGUGCAAACACUACUUCUCGAUUUAUUCUAUUAUUUAUUUAUUUAGUAAAAAAGGUAAAUGGCGGGCAAGCCUGCUGGCUCUCAAUCUCAUGCUCCAAACCUCUAUUAAAAUGACUAAAGUACCCAUGUAAGAUUGAGUAGUGGCCAUUAUAAUAUAUUCGAUCUUGGAAUAGAUUGAAUAUGUAACGGGAAAAAAAAAAAAAGGGAUCUGAAGGUUGUUGUUUAAUUAAAGUUGAAAAUAUAUCAAAAUACUUUUCUUGCUCGGAAGUUGAUUUGGUCGACAAAGGAUUUGACUUCGGAAAGAUUAUUUAAAAAAUCCUUUUGAUAUGGGCCAUUUUUCUCUCAAUUAUUUAUUAAACCAUUGAAUACAUAAAACACAAAAUUCAACAACGGCGUAC